Molecule: long non-coding RNA, 61953 nt
Filed under: Phaseolus vulgaris (common bean)
Lineage: Eukaryota; Viridiplantae; Streptophyta; Magnoliopsida; Fabales; Fabaceae
Description: long non-coding RNA (PVUL_LNC005192)
Source: RNAcentral
GAGAAUGGAAGGUGCUAGAAGUAUGCUAAGCUAAUUCUACCAUUUGGGAUUGAGAUUAAUCUGCUCAAACUCUUAUGUAUUGAGGUGAUAUCUUAUAUUAAAAUAUUCAGUUCUUAAUUGAUUAUUGGUAUUGUGAUUUUACUUUUAAUUUUUCGUGACAAAUUGAGAAUCUUAAAUCUGACUGGAAAGUAUUUUUAGGGUUCUGACCUAAACAACAAUACUUAACAUAUUUGAGUGCUAGGAAUAGACUUAAAAUCCAUAUUUUUCCAAUUGAAGCAACUAAUUCUUUUCUUGUUUUUAUUAUUGAUCAAUGUCAACAUAACCAACUCAAAACUUUUUUUUAUUUUUCUGUUGUUAUAUUUAGCGAAUAUUGUACUUGAUAAUUCACUGUUCCUUGUGGGAUCGAUAUCUGUCCUUAGGGACAAUUAUUACUUUUGACAAACGCGGUGCACUUGCCGUAAAAAGUCAUUAGCCACCCAAGCAAUUUUCUUACCAUCCUUCCCCCAACCCCAUGUAUUUUUUUAAUAAACAAGACCACAUACAUUGACAUCCUGAAAAAAGAAAUAAAAAAAGGGGAAUAGAAGAGAUAACUGACCUUAAUAAACAAACUCUGCCAGCCAUAGAUAAGAACUUCCUUUGAGCCCAGAAGCCAACUCAAAUUGACCUUGAGCCUAGAAGCCAACUCAAACCAACAUAAUAUAGAUUUGAUCACCAUUAUGUUUUGUGGGCUAUCCUUGCAGAAGAAGAGAGCAUCGUCGACAAAGUGCAACAUGUUAACCUUUACACUUUUAUACCCAACCUCCACACUUUGAAGCAAAUCCUUGAUGACUGCUUACCUGACCGCUCCUGCCAAACCCUCAGUCACUAUUAGGAAUAAAAAGGGAGCAAGGGGAUCACCCUGUCUAAGACCCUUUCUAGGUUUGAAUUCCUUUUUUGGACUCCCAUUUACAAGGAUUUUGACACAUAAGCGAACUCUAGGCAUGCUUUUAUCCAUCUAAUCCAUUUACCCCCAAACCCAAGCAUGUCUAACAUAUAAUAUAGAAAAUAUCAAUGCAUUGAAUCAUAUGCUUUUCAUAAUCAACCAUUAGGAGUAAACACGAUGAUUUCUUUCUUUUCACUUCCUCCAAGGUUUCAUUUGAUAUUAACACACUGUCUAAAAGGCCCCUCCCCUCUGUUUCAUCAUGGUUGAUGAGAGAUGAAUGGCACAACUCGUGCCGAUAGGAGCUUAGACUGAAAGAAAGGAAAGAUGGAUCAUAACAACUUUACUGUGAUAUUAAUGAUUUUUUUUCUUUUUCAUUUUUGUUAGUUCAUUUUAAGAGUGAAUAUUCCUCUCUUUCGUCCUUUUCGGAAUUAACUCUGAUUUCUAGGAAACUAUUUCAACAAUUAAGAGAUGCCAAAUUUAUAAUCGGACUAUGAUACACUUAAUUGAUAAAUAAAAAAAAUAUAGUAGGAAUCACAUGUCGUGGGGAUGAACAAGAGGUAGUCGAGGAAUAUUCAAACCUGGAAGUAAGAUUUGGAGAUCAUGAAGAGUGCGGAGGAGGGAAAGAAGGAUCGGUUUUUAUGAUUAUAGUCAAUCUAAACAUAAGAGGGCUGGGGGAAGGUACCAAAGCUAGGUAUAUGAGACAUAUUAUAGACGGGAGGAAGUUGAUUUUGUCUGUGUACAAGAAACAAAGUCUAAAGAGUUCUCGGAUGCUAGAUGUUUUGCGUUUUGGGGGGAUAACAAAGUUGGUUGGAUCCACAAUAAAGGAGAUGAAGGCAGUGGAAGUUUGUUGUCUAUGUGGCAUAAGGAAGUUUUUGAUUAUGAAAGUCACGUGAUGGGAACUAGUAUAUUGCUAUUUAUGGCCAACACCUAAAAACUUCCUCUAGGUGUGUAAAACAGACAUCGCACGUAUUGGCCUGGUGCCUCUGUGGAGAUUUUAAUGUUGUGAGAAGUAGAAACGAGAGGAAAGGCAUCAGGGACAGGGGUGAACAAACAAGCGAAGUAACUGGCUUUAAUAGCUUCAUUGACUCCAACUUUUUUCUAGAUUUACCUCUGGUGGGCAAGAAGUUUACGUGGUUUAAACCAGAUGGAACGGCUAAGAGUAGAAUUCAUAGAGUGCUUAUUACUGAGGAUUGGCUAUACUAUGGCCCAAGAGUAAACAAUAUGUCCUUCGAAGGGAAGUGUCAGACCAUUGUGCACUGGUAGUUAAGUCUGUGGAGAAGAACUGAGGUCCAAAACCGUUCAGAACCAUAGAUGCUUGGCUGUUCGAGAGAGGUUUUAGCAGGAUGGUGAAGGAGAAAUGGCAGUCUUACUCUAUUCAGGGGAAUGGCUUAACGAAAUUUAAAGAAAAACUAAAACUCCUCAAGCAAGAUCUGAAAUCUUGGAACAUGGAUGUGUUUGGAAACCUUGAUACUUCCAAGAGGAGGAUCCUACAGGAGCUGGAGGCUCUUGACAGCCAAUACUACUCUGGUGGCUUAGCGAAAUGUGAGAGGUUGAGAAGACUGGAGUUGGUAAGUCAUCUAAAAGAGAAUGAUAAGAAACUUGAAUCCCUUAGCUGUCAAAAGGCAAGAGCAAACUGCUUUAAGAGUGGGGACUCCUGUACUAGAUUCUUUCACUCAUCUUUGAGGUGGAGAAGGCUAAGGAAUGAAUUGAAGGGUGUCCAGGUGGGGGAUCAUUGGUGUGAGGAACCUUGUACGGUCCGUUUAGAGGCGAAGAAGUUAUUCGAAUAUAGAUUCAGAGCAACGAAAGAUCUAGGGGUAAGACUGGAUGAAGUCGAGCUCAAGUCUUUAACCACGACUGAUAAUGAGGGCUUCAUAGCUGUAUUUUCAGAGAAGGAGAUUAGGGAUGCAGUGUGGCAGUGUGAUGGAUCAAAGAGCCCCGGACCAGAUGGGUUCAAUUUGAAUUUCAUUCGGAAGAACCGGGAGUUUAUAAAAGAUGAGAUCUUGGCAGCACUGACUUUGUUUCAUGAGACUGGGAGUAUCCCGAAGGGUUGUAAUGCUUCCUUCAUAGCUUUAAUCCCUAAAGUUAGGGACCCCUCUAUGCUGGAGCAUUAUAGACCUAUCUCACUAGUUGGAGCCUUAUACAAAAUCAUAUCUAAGGUGUUGGCUAGUAGAAUGAAGAAGGUGUUACCAUCCUUGAUAGAUGAAAGCUAAUCAACUUUUGUAAAAGGAAGAGGGAUCUUAGACAGUGUGCUUAUGGCUAAUGAAAUGGUAGAGGAACUUAGAAGGAAGGGGAGAAGAGGGCUUUGUCUAAAGGUGGACUUCGAAAAAGCAUAUGACUCGGUUAGAUGAGAUUUCUUUUAUGAUACUCUUUUUCUUUGUGAAGACUCCCUUAAUAAUGUGAUAACUUUGAAGGCCAUCCUAAGGGGCUUCGAACUAGCCUCAAGACUGAAGAUUAACUUCCAUAAGUCAAAGCUAGCAGACAUCAAUGUUCAAAGUAAUUCUCUAGCUUGUUACACAAAGACUCUGAACUGUACACAUAUGGGGAUACCGUUUAAGUAUUUGGGAAUUGAAGUGGGAGGAAACCCAAGGAAGGAGAAAUUUUGGGAACCUGUCAUUAUUAAGAUAAAAGCUAGGCUCAGUGUGUGGAAAGGUAGAUUCUUGACUUGGCAGGGAGAAUUUGCCUUAUUAAAUCUGUCAUUACUGUCAUACCCUUGUAUUAUCUCUCCCUUUUCAGAGUACCGGACUUAGUUUGCAAAAGGAUUACUAGUAUCCAAAGGAGAUUCUUAUGAGGUUGGGGUAAAGCGAAUAAACCAAUCUCCUGGGUAAGUUGGAAAGAUGUUUGUAGACUUAAGGAGGAGGGAGGCCUGGGUUUAAAAGAUAUACGAAAGUUUAAUCAUGCCCUCCUAGCAAAGUGGAUAUGGCGUUGUAUUUCUCAAGAGGAAGGAAGGUGGAAGGAGAUUUUGGCCUCAAAGUAUGGUUUGGAGAUCGAAAGCGCACAAACUUCUAUUAAAUUUCAGUUGUGGCGGUGGAGAGACCUUAAUAAACUAUGUAAGGAGGGAGGAGGAAAAGGAUGGUUCCAGGAAGAAUUAAGUUGGGAACUAGGUUGUGGGGACAAAGUAAAAUUCUGGGAGGAGGUGUGGAUUGGAAGUACUAAUCUCAAAUCUUUGUUUCCCAAAUUGUACUCCCUGUCCCUAAAUAAGGGCCAAACAGUGGGUGAGGUAGGUGUUUGGGUUAAUUCAUAAUGGAGGUGGAAUCUGGGGUGGAGUCCGCAAUGGAAGCAGAUCUUAUGCUUUUAACUGGGGCUAUAAUGAAAAAGAAUGUCAAGGAUGUGCAGGUGUGGGGGAAGGAAGUACCAGGGUUAUUUUCUGUGAACUCUGCUUAUGAAUGCUUAAGUAAGCAAUCUAGAGGCCCUUGCUUAGAAGUCUUCAAACUCCUCUGGAAGGCUAAGGCAUUCCCAAAUGUGGUGAUGACUGCUUGGAGGGUGUUGCUGGGUAGAAUCCCAACAAGGGUGAGUUUGAGUAGGAGAGGCGUCACGGUGAACUCUACGCUAUGUGCAAUGUGUCAGUCAAAGGAGGAGUCAUGCCAACAUCUUUUUCUGGAGUGUAAAUAUGCUCAAAGGGUCUGGUCGCUGUGCUUCAAAUGGAUAGGUGUAUCUUUUGUUCAACAAAAUGUCUUAAAUUUGCACUUCCUUAGAUUUUAUCUGAGCCAAACCAGUAAUAAGAAAAAUCUGGUAUGGAAAGGUGUCUGGGCAACUAUUAUUAGAUGUAUUUGGGAUCAAAGGAACCUGAUUGUUUUUAAGCAAGGGGUAGUUGAUGCGGAGGAGGUGUUUCAGAAGGCUCAACUCAAAUCUUGGCUCUGGAUGAAGCAUAAGGUGCACUCCUUUAACGACUCGUACGUCGACUGGGUUCUCAACCCAAUGCUAUGCAUUAGAGGCUAUAAGUAGGGCUCACAGGCGUCAAGCUUUAUUAGGAUUCUGGUGUAGUAUGAUGGAAUGGGAAGAGGGUUGCACUCAUUACUCCUGAGAUGUUAUGUUGCAGGUGCAGGGGUCCUUAGCGCAUCAGUUUUGUCUCUUAUGGAAUAAGGUCAUGACUUGAGUCCUGGAGCUGCGGUUGAGGGAAGUAGAGAUGAAGGAGUAACAAAUCUAAGCCUAGGCUAGAUCUGUGGCUUUGUUGCUUGUGAUGUCGGUUCUGGUUCUUCUGUUUUAUGGUAUUUCUGGUAUUUAUGUUGGUUCUGGUAUUUCUAUGCUCAAAAACAGAAUGUUGGGAUACUCACGAAAUCACAGCAGGUUACCACUUUGUUCAGGAAUCUAGAUGUUCAAUGGGACCGUGGAAGCUAUCUUUGUGGUCCAGUCAGGGGCAAGUGUAUCUGGUUUUAUGCACACUGGGAGAGGUCUUGCAGUGCUGGAGGAAUGUUGGUAUCUAAAGGCUCCAUUUGCAUCCAUUAAAAGUGGUAGUGUUUGCCUUGCAGGAGUAAUAGAUGGAGGGGCCCCAGGUGCUGUUACCACAGUCCCAACCUGUCGGUCUGCAUUGAAGAAGGGUAGGGGAGUAAAUUGGAGGCUGGUCUGAAGUUUAGGGUGUGCUGGUAUGGAAUCUUGGUAAGCACACUUAAGCAACAUUUGUGUUGGUCUGCAUUAUAGGGAAAUGCUGGAACCAAAGUGUGACAAUCAGAGCUAUUGAGGUUUUAUGGCUAGGGAGUGUAAAAAUCAUGGACUAUUUCAAGACACAUCAGCUCUUGAAGAAGUCACUUCAGGCUUACGUUUUCAGCCUGAACUUCAAGUAGAGAAGUAAGGAAAGGUAGAGAAGUUAUAUGGACAGAAGGUAGAGGUUUAUAUGAGCGGCUGGAGGCAGAUGCAUGAGUUUGCUACACUCUCAAGAAUCUACGCAGCUGUGAUGCCUGAUUGGUUUGGUGGUGAUCAGAAUAUGGAGCUUUGGUCAAGUAGUAGUAGUUGUGGUAAAGUUUUGGUUUAGCACACAAGAGGACGUAAGAUGGGCAGGUUAACGGUGUCUUGAAGCUGUUAUGAUGUAAGAAGCCUAGGCUUGGACACUGCUGUAGACCAUUAAAGAGGAGAGAGUUGCAAAAGAGAGUGGAUGUUUGGUGCGGUAGAAGCAGGGGAUAUUUUAUCAAAGAAAGGUGGAAAUUCUUGGCUUAUGCUUGGAGCUCAGCUUGGUGCACUGGUAGGGGGGAUUACUGGUGCUGGAUGGUGUUCCUGGCAAGAGCCAAUCACGUGCAACUAGUGGUCUCACAUGUGUAAGGAAGCAUUAGUGGUGUGGUGGGGAUCCAGACAUGGAAUUGAUGGAUUUUUUGCAGCUGGGACGGGCAUGGUGCGAACAUGUAGUGGGCUUACAGAUAGACAUGCUGGAAGGUUUUUUAAGCCAAGCUGGAAGGUGGAUUUCAAGGCCUUAACAUUUGACUUUUCUGUGGAGUUACUUGGUUGUUAUAGGGUGAAGCCAAUCUUCAAAAUGGAGCAACUGAAGACGCUGUAGAAAGUUAAUGAGUUGAUGGAGGUAGCUAAUUUUCUCGGUGUGUUUUGGUGGUAUUGAAGCUGCAGAUUGCAUCUCUAUAGCAGCUCAAUAGAGGCAGGUGCUGGCUGGUGCAGGGUGUUUAGUUUAUGCAGUAAACAACACAUAUUUUCUUCAUUCUCAGUAUUCUUUCUUUUAUUUGGUAAUCUCUUAAUGUGGUUUGGAUUGUGUAAAAGGGUUGGAAUACCCUUUUUUAUCCCUCUUAAUUUAAUUUCAUUCUUUGUUGAUAAAAAAAAAAUAGUAGUGAGCUAUGAAGAUAUUUUCUUACAAAUGUUACGUUGAACAUUUCUGUACGAAAUACUUGAAUGGUUUUCUAACGUCGCUGGAAAUUAAACAUUUUCACUGAUAUAGCAAAGACCAAUGCAAAAACAACUGUGAAUGCAACCAUCACAGCUGCAACCACUCCAAGAAAAUCAUGCUUGAAACCAAAGUAACUUCUCACAAAGCCUUCCACUGUUGUUGUCCCAUCACUGGAUUCAAUGCUUUGCUUUAUAUCUCCAUAUUGUGAAGCCAGCAAUCCAUACAAACUCCAAGAAAUUGGAUUUACCCAACUGAACCACCUCCACCAUACCGGGAUCCGCUGGUAUACCAUGCCAAAAAGGAAUAUUAUCCUAAAUUUGCUACCUUCUAUGCUUAGAGAGCAUGAAUCUACAGUGCACUAAAUAUGAAAGACUAAACUUACUGGCCGUGGGACUAUGAAUCCUGAGAAGAUAUUCCACACCGCAUAAAAUCCUGAAGAAACUAUAGUGGAGAUGUGUUCGUUAGGGGUCAAUGCCACUGCCAUCAUUCCAUAGUAGGUGAAGUAUAGGAAGGUAAAGUACAUGAAGAAUAGGCACCAGAAAAAUUUAGCCACAGUCCACUCAUAACCAAUCAUCGCAUAAAUUAUAAUGCUAUAGGCUACAGCUUGUCCAAGUACAUACGGGAGCUCAAUCAGAACCUGCAACAGAAAUAUAGAUUAGAAAGAAGGAAUGCAGAAAUUAAUAGAAGGAAUUGAUCGGGCUUGUACCUCCUGUUCUGGAGUUAUUCUAAGGCAUUACUGCUGCGAAAUCCCCUGUUUUCGAGUUAUAUGGUGUGGUGCUUUGGUACAGUAUAGGCGUGUGUGUGUUGGUGGCAAUGAGCUUAAGCUGAGUUUUUUUUUUCUGGCUUUUUAUGCAGGGUUGGUGGGUGUUUGGUGCCACUUGUGGCUGGUUUCUUUCUUUCUGUAGUGGCUUAUUAGGCUUUGCCUCCCCUUAUGUAUUCAAGGAAGGAUGGUGGUAGAAUAGUUUUCUUGAUGUUAUUCUGUUGUUCAAACACCCUUCUGUUAUUCUGUUUUAAUGCUUUUGGUUUAGCUGUUAAAAGCUUCUGAGUGUAUAAUUCUGUUUAAUCCAUGAGAGGGUGUAAUAGUUUUGGGUCUGCAUAUGGGUUGGGAUACCUCUGAAGUAUCUCUUUUAAUUUUAUUUAUUCAUUGCUGAUAAAAAAAAAAGAGGUAAAUAGAAGUAAUAAUUUCAAAUCCUGGUGAUAAUCACCUUAAUUACUAACAAAAAAAGUAUCAAUUACUUUUGGAUUUGACUCCUCUGAAGGAGUUACUUUCUUUAGAGUUUAGAGGUUGAAGUAACUAAUCCUGGUUGUUGACGAAAAACUUAAUGAAUAAAUUUCCAACACAUUCAUGAUUUUUAUGCAUGUAUACAUAAUAUUAACAGUUGGUUUUUCAUCAGUGAUUGAGAUCACUUAUUUUUCCUUUAUUUUCUAUAUUAAUUGUUGUGAACAUUAUGAUUUAGGAUCAAAUAACACUCAAAUAAAAGACAUAUAUUUAGAAAGUGGAAUUGCUUGCCUGGGCAAAAGCAUAUGGAAAAGCUGAAUACAUUCCAGCUGCUCUCUCCCUGUAAAAGACUGUCCGCUCAACAGCAACUACUGGCUGCACAGCACUAGAAUUCUUAAUACUAAGAAGGAUAACAGCAGCAUACAUGGAGCCCAUGACAUUGAAAAGAUCUUGUUGCUUUUCACUGCAAUAAUUGAUGGGAAAGUUUCAUGUUUGAUGAAACAGUCACAACAAAACAAAUGAGAUUCACAUGUCAAAGUUUUUUUGUUUGAUCUUACAUUUUGGAGCCAAGGUUCCAAAACAUGCUUCCAAGCAAAACAGCUACAGUAGUGGAGAAUAGAAAUCUUAAAACAGUGUAUUGAGAAUUGCGCCAGUAAGACCAAUGUUGUUUCCAUAAGCAAGCCAUGCAUUGGGUGAAGAAGGAAGUUGAGUACUGUGAAGAAAAAUAAAGGUCUUUUGAACCAGGAGAUGGAGUACUCAAUUCUUUAACAAGUGCUUUAGUUCUCCUAUGACAAAUGACAAAGACCAUAUAUCAACAACCACUCUACUUCUGAACUGAAAAUAGUUCUAAUAAUAAACAAAACAUUAUUGCCCUUUUAGACCUUAAGUGCUAUCUAUCCUAUUACUUUCGAGUCUCUAGUUUUAUUACACUAUACAACUGCAAAUACCUGUAUAACUCCGAAUUUUUAUACACCUCGGCAAAAUCAAUCUCCAAAUCCUUUUCUUUUGCUGAACUUGUGACUUCCAACAUCCAUGUUGCUGGAUUAUAGCCAUCUUUAAUCUUAUCGAUACCUUGGAUUUCCUUCAGAGUAAAAGCGUGACAUGAGUGAAACUUUUGCAUGAAGAUUGAUUUGAAACAAAACAUGAGUUCAGUAUUCCUCAUUUUCAUAUUUUCACCUCAAAGUAACUAAUUAAAUUGGAAGAACGAAGUCCAAGUGGCCCCGCAUAUAUCUCUUGCCCCCCUUGCUUCAUUAGAAAAAUCUGCAUUUUGUAGUGACAAAAGGUUAGAAACUUGGUUACGGAAAGCAGAGUAAACUUGGUACACUGAUUUUGUUUUUCACCUCAUCAAAUGAUUCAAAUAUGUCUAUGCUAGGCUGAUGGAUGGUACAAACAACUGUUCUUCCAGUGUCUACCGUGUUCCUAACCGUUCUCAUGACAAUAGCAGCUGCUCUUGCAUCUAGCCCAGAAGUUGGCUCAUCCAUGAAUAUUAUGGAAGGAUUUGCUACAAGUUCAACUGCAAUUGUCAACCUUUUACGUUGCUCUAUUGAGAGACCAUUAACACCUGGCAACCCUACUAAUGCAUGCCUUAGUGGUUUCAGUUCCACAAGUUCCAUGACUUCCUCAAUGAACAUCUGCAACCAUUAAUCAGCGUCAAACAUCGAGGUAUUUUUUUUGGUUUAAACACUUAUAAUUUUGUUUCCUUUGUUAUUUAGGACUUAAUAAUUCCAAUCAUGAAUGGUAAUAGAUUCUAAUUUUGGUUUUGGCGGUUACAAAUUACUGUGAAAAUUUGCUUGCAAACUCUAAGCCACAUUAGACAAGAAUGCAGAAUUACUGAAAUGGUUACUUCAUGGCAACCUCAAGUUUUCAAACUAGUUGGCAGCCUUUGUUAAACUACAAUGAAUUAGCAUGAAUGACUGUCAAAGACAUAAAAUUUAGAUACCAACCUUUCUGGUUUCAGCAUUGAUGUCUGGGGACAAUCUGAGCCAUGCUGAAUAAAGCAAGGAUUCAUACACAGUAACAUGAGGAGAGUGGAUGUCGUUUUGCUCACAGUAUCCUGAAAUUCUUGCAAAUGUUUCUUGCUUUUUCUGAUACCCAGAGAUUGUGAUAUUCCCUACAACAUAUCCUGCGGUUUUUCUACCAGCAAGUACAUCCAUCAGAGUUGUUUUGCCUGCUCCGGUGACACCCAUUAGAGCAGUGAGAACACCUGGCCUGAAGGAUCCACUGACACCCUUCAAAAGAACCAAUUUAUUCUCAACAACUCCUUGGUUCCUCAUUUCCUGCAAGUAUUUGAUAAUUUUUAAUUCACAUUAUAUGCAUGAGUUUUCAAAAAUGGUUUAAUUUUGUUUCUACAUUACCUGUGGCAUGUCCACAGCAUAUAUUACUUCAUCAAAGGUGAUAGAAUGUGGUUCAAAAGGAAGAACCAUUCCUCUAUAGCUAGUGGGAAAAGUAUGAGAAGAUGUAUUUCGACAUAUACCUCCAUCAUUUCUCACUAUGAAGUAGUUCCAGCGUUAUCCAUUAGACGUAAUGUGAAUUGAAAAUAUUACAAAUCUAAUGUUAUCUGUCGUUAAGAGAAGAAGUACCUUUAAUUGAGUGAUCAGUGAAGUUAUAUUUUAUGUAUCUCAUCGCAUUAAUUCCUUUAUUACUACCACCAUUUUGCUCAUUGUUUUCAAGUUCUUCGGAUAUAAAUGCAUGUUGCUUCCCGGGUGCUGAAAAAUCAAUUUUAUCAAAUUAAUAGAUAGAUUUACUUAGAUAUAUGGUUUAUUGAAUAUUUAAGCCGAAGACCCUCACUGCUCAAAUACGUAAGAGCAAGGAUGUAGCCAAAGUUAAAAAGUAAUGUAUAUCCAAUCAAAACCAGAACGCCUAUCCAAAACCAAUAUGAUUGGAUGAAGAAUCCCCGUGAUUUCAAAACUUCGAUUCCAAGAGGCUCCGUGGAGUUUGGUAGAACCUAUCGUAAAAAAUUAUGUUGAAAUAUGAUAUUAUUUAUAAUUAAAGAAGGCAUGCAGGUAUAUACUAUUUAAACUUACAUGCCUCCAUCUCUCUGCAAGGAACUCGUUAUUUACCAUAGCAUUCUGUCCGUACAUCAUAGGUGAUAUCCAGAAGCCCCAUAACCACCAUUUUUUUAUGUUGUCUGGAACCAUAAAGAGGACAACAAUGCAUUGUUAGUGUAGAACAUAAUGGAAAGCAUGGGAGUGGUCUAUUUUGUAUCCAUGGUACCUUUUGAUAGGAUAAAACCACUCGUACCAAAAAGGAAGGUCACUGUAAAUGACCCAAGUGCUAAAGCUGCAUCCAAUUCCCUCCCAACUCCUGCAAGAAAUCGGAAUAAUGCGGAAGCCAUCUGGUUCACCACUAAAAGAACAAGGUAUUGUCUAAAAAAUCUGCAUUAUGGAAACAUAAAAUGAAUGUUAUUUUUUAUUUUCAGGGUUCAAGUAGAAAAUGAGACUAGAAAGAUCAACGAGUAUGUGUAAACACAAAGUUGUUUUUACCUUCCAAUAUUUGGAUCAAAUCAAAUGACAUAGUAGGUUAGGAAUAGCCACACAGCAACUUCUAGAAAAGUUAUAGGGAUUUUUAGGAUCCAUGCAGGCAGAGCAUAUGCCCAUGAAGGAAAAAACAGAUUAUCCCUUUGCUUGUAGAAAACAGGAAGCUUUAAAACGACCAUGGGAAGUUCAGCAAGUCCAUUGAACAUAAUCACAGCAAGGCCAAAGAACAAUGCACCGACAUAUAUCCCGCCAUCAGUCACAGAGUCUCUGCGCAUCUCAGUCCGAAGGAAGAUGGUCAUGGCAAUAAAUGCCAUUACAGCAAGCUAAAUGGAGGGAGAAGCAAUGAGUAAGACAAUAAUAGCAUUAGAUGACACGACAAUAAAAUGAACCAUUCUAAUUCCCAAACCUACUUGGCUCCACCGGAAGAUGUAAACAAAUGAAUUGCGCUUCAUAAGUAAAUAUUCUCUUGAUAAGCAAGCUUUUAACAGUUCCCAUUUCCCCACUCCAAACUUUUUGGUUGUCAAAGCAGCUGGGUGACUCUUAGACCUGUCAAAUUCACUAUCAAGUUCUUCACGAAGACUUCUCCCAACAUGAAAUGACUUGAGUGCCUCUGAGAACUCUUUGGCUGUGACAAAUCUAUAAGGUUGAUCUUUGUGUGUGCAGUACUGUUCCUGGUCUUUCCUUGAUGUUACCUAUAGCAUAUAAUAAUCAAUGGUCACAAUUAAAUUUAUAAAACUCUCUUAUACCGGUGCACACAGAUUACAUCGUUGAGACAAUACAGAUGGACACUUACUUCUUGCAAAAAGUCUGCCACACCUUUCCUCUCAGGACAUUGAAAACCCAUUGAUUGGAAAAAUUGAAGCACAUAUUCGCGGGGACCCUGGUACACUAUAUGACUAUCAGAGAGUAGAAUAAUGUCAUCAAAAAGAUUGUAAGUCUCGGGCGCUGGCUGCAGGAGUGAGAUGACUGUUGUUCCUUUGAGAAUGUGAACACAUUGCUUGAGUGAAUUCACAAUUUGGAAGGUUGUUGAGCUAUCCAAACCAGUAGAUAUUUCAUCCAUGAAUAGAGCUUUAGCUGGUCCAACCAGCAUCUCUCCUGCAUUUACAAGUUUAUAAUGAUUAAAUUUCUCACAUAUAUACAUUCAUUUAAUUGAGUGCUGUAAACUUAGUACACUUCGUCAUUGAGAAAGGUUUUGUUUUACCUGUUGUAAGGCGUUUCUUUUGUCCACCAGAGAUUCCCCUUAACAUUGUAUUUCCUACAACGGUAUCAGCACAUAUCUCUAGUCCUAAAAUCUGCAAAUAGAAAUUCAACAUUAAAAGAAAAUAUUAUACUGAGUCAAGAUGAUUAGAGAGGCUUUAGAAAGAAUAGAUCUUAUACCCUUAGGAUGUAAUCUGUUAUCAAAUUUGCUUUCUGGCCUUCAGUUGCUACAGCCUGAGUAUUAAGAGUCAAAAGGACAACCAGUUAAUAUCUAUAUGGAAAAAGAUGAAUCUUCUGAUUCACCGUUUUGCUUUUCGUAUAUCUAAUUUAUCACUUAUGUUUUCUUCAAAGGAACCCUUCUGGACGAGAAAUUUUGCAAUUCAUAGGAAGAAGUUGAAGAAGAGAGGAAUAUCCAAAAUUGAACGGGGUAUUAUAGUAACAUUGCUAAGCUGUCAUACUUCUUUGUCUUUGUCUUGAAUUGCUACCAGGAAUCAAUAAUAUAAAAAAGGCUUAGGGAUGAAAGUCAAAUGGGAAAAACACAUUCCUUACAAGUGUGCACUCUUUGUUACCUUACACGAACGCGGAAAAAAAAUCCAAAUUCUGAAAUCCAAUUUAUAAUUAUCUAAAUUGAUAUUACUUUUAAUCCAUUUAAAUGGAUUUAUCUCAAAUCCAAAUCUAUAAUUUUAGAUUUUAAGUUCAAUCCAUUUAAUUAGAUAUGGAUUAGGUAUAAAUUGUAUAUAUUUUUGGAUUAUCCAAAAUGAAUUUUAGGUUGGAUUUUGACUUGGUCCGGCUCCAGGUUGAGUCGAGUCAAUCCGGGUCCAAGUCGAGCAAAGUUGGUCCGAGUCCAUGUUGAGUUGAGUCGGUCAGGGCUCAAGUCAAGCUGAGUUGAUCCGUGCCAAAGUUGUGUCGAGUCGAUCGUUGAAUUGAGUCGGCCCAAGCCAAAGUUGAACCGAGUCAACCAGGGCCUAAGUCGAGCUGAGUGGGCUAGAGCCCAAGUCGAGUCGGCACUGCCCAUGUCGAGCAAAGUCGACACGAGCCUAUGCUGAGCCGAGUCGGUCCAGACCUAUGUCGAGUCGAGUCAAUCCGGCCAAUGUCGAGCUGAAUGGGCCUGUGCCCAUGUCGAGCCGAGGUACCAGCUUACAUGUCGACUGGACUUGGCGAGGGCCAAAGCCGAGCAGAGUAGGUUCGGGCCCAUGUCGGUCCGGGACCAUGUCGAUCCGAGUCCGUCUAGGCCGAUGUCGCGCUAAGUCGGCUCAGGCCGAUGUCGAGCCGAGUCGGCCCGAACCUAUGUUGAUUCAAACUCAUAUUGACCCGAGUCGAUUCGAGCUCAUACCGAGCCAAGUCGGCCCCGAUCAAUAUCCAGCUGAGUCGGCCCAGGGCCCAUGUCGAUCCGAGUCAACCCGGGUCAUUGUCGACCAAAGUCGGCCCAGGUCCAUGUCGAUCUGAGUCAGCCCGGGACCAUGUCAAGAGUGGACCCAGGCCGAUGUCGAGCCGAGUCGGUUUUGGCCAAUGUAGAGCCGAGUCGGCCCGGGCCGAUAUCGAGUCGAGUCGGUCCGAGCCGAUGUCGAGCCGAGUCAGCCCAGGACGAUGUUCAACAAAGUCAACCCGGGCUGAUGUCGAGCCGAGUCGGCUCGGGUUGAUGUCGAUUCGAGUCAACUCAGGUCAAUGUCGAGCAGAGUCGGCCCACGCCCAUGUUGAGCUGAGUCGUCCCUUACUGAUGUCCAGCCGAGUUGGCCUGACCCCAAGUCGAGUCGUCACUAGGCCAAGGUCAAGUUGGCACUGGACCCAUGUCGAGCCAAGUCAAGCCGAGUCAGCCCAUGUCAAGUUGUGUGGGCCUAGGCCCGUGUCAAGUCGAGUCUAUCUGGACCUAGAUCGAGUUGAGUCGACCCGGUCCCAUGUCGAGUUGAGUAGACCUAGGCCCAAGUUCAAUGAAGUCGGUCCGGGCGUAAGUCGAGUCAGUCCAGGCCCUUGUUGAGCCGAGUUAGCUAGGUUCCAUAUCAAGCCGAGUGGGCCUAAAUCUAUGUCGAGCCAAGUGGGCUCGAGUUCAUAUCGAGGUGAGUCAGUCAAGAUUUAGAUCGAGAUGGAUUUAAUCUAAUUGACAAAGUAAAUUUAAUCUAAUUGAAAAAGUGGAUUUAAUUUAAAUUUAAUUUAUUUAAAAUAGAUUUGAAAAAUUAAAAAUGGAUAUGGUGCAAUUUCUCUUUGGAUCUAGAUUGGAUUUAAUCUAUACCAACCCUACCUUCAUGUAGAUAUCAAUAUCUGGAUCAGGUAUGAUAUUUGCCUCUUUUUCUCUUCUCGACAAUUCUGCAAGCAAAUCUGCAUAAAGCCAAAAUUUAUACACAUAAUCAAAACUUAAAUUUCACGUAUAAUGUUAGCAUGUGUUUUGAACAUUGAACAUGAACAAAAGUCAUUAUUCAUGCUGCAGACUAACCAUAACGAGUUCCAACUCCUUGGACUCUUGCUGAGAAGGUUAAGGUUUCUCUGACCGUCAACUCUGCAAUAUGAAGAUCAUUUUGAUUGACAUAUGCUGCAGUCCUUUGGGGUACAAACUCAUCUAUCGCAUGACCAUUAUAAGUCACCUUUCCAGAAAACUGAUCAAGAAACCACACUAAAUCACCUAGAGAUCCAAGAUUAAAAAAAUAGAGAAAAAACAUGAAAUAUCUUUCGAAAAAAAAAUUAUUUUCUUUGAUGCCCCAACCUUUAACUUUGGAUCAAGUCUUGCUGCCAAGGCCAACAAUAGUGUGGUUUUUCCAGAACUUGGAGGGCCCAAAAGUAAUGUCAUUCUGAACAGUAGGAAAUGGAAACAUUAUAUUAGUUCCGAAGGUGCUGGUUAAUUACAACUUUAUUAUAUAUAAAGAACACCACUUUCAUUACCUGCCAGGCUUUAUUAUUCCACUGACAUCCUGGAGAAUAUGUAUAUGUUGUUUUCUACUUUGUAGAAUAUGAAGAGAGUUCAACAUACCCUUUUAACGAAAAUAAGUGAAACCAAAUAUUCAACAUGUUAGAACUCCUUCUGUAAGGUCAAGGUGCAUGUUCUACUAAAUAUGAAAGCUGGUACCAAUACUCACCUCCACAAUAUUCACCAUGAAGUUAGCGAAGGUAGGCAAAGCUCUAGUUCCUACACUAGCUUCUGCUUCCACAUUCAAGUUCUCAAACCGCACCUCUAUUAUCGGAAGAUCAAUUCCAACUCUGAUAUCAUCCAAUCCAAGGAAGCAAAAUAGGAGGAGAAGAAGCCAUCCAUGAGUGCAUUUCGAUCAAAGACAACUUCAUUAGAAUCAGAACAAAAGAGAAGGGGAAUCUUACCUAUCAAUUCGUUCCCUUAACUUGAGCAAAAACUUCUCAUUGUCCUCUUCAGCAGUUCUGAUCAGUCUUUCAAGUAAAACUCUUCUUUCUUGCAACCCAAGUUUGUGCACAUCAAUCUCAUUCACUUCUCCUUCGGGUGAAGUGAACAAAGCUUUCCUCAUACGCGAAACGGUGGGAAGUUUCUGAAUGGCAGCCCAUUUGAGAGCCUCUUCAUCAUCCUCUUUGUGCAAUGAGUUUGAGAAGAUAUCCUUAUCACUGUCCCUGCAAAUGGAUGAACUACCAUUCCUGAAACUACCCCCACCCUCCAUUCAACCGGACCCAAUAACAAAACAAAUAGAACUUUAAACCCUACUGCAGCCACCGCUAGAACCUAGUAACUAUUUUCCAGAAACAAAAGCAUUUUCAAUUUGUUUUGCCUGAAUGGGACACAAGAUAUAUAUGGAGAUUGAGGAAGGAAUUAAGAACAUGCAGUUUUAGCAGAGUUAAAUAUGGUGGGAGGGUUUUUGAAGUGGCAACAUAUGCAUAUCUGCGCACAUAUUUGUAGCCACCACCUUUACGUGGUGAAGAUGCAACAGUAUUUUAUUACUUCGCACCAUCCAAAUAUUGUAUAAAAAAAAUUAAGUUGAUUAAAUGACGUGUGGUGUCGGUGUCGGAUAGUCAUAUCGGAUACAGACACUCGUAACGUAUUUGCGAAGUGUUCAAUUCAAAAAGUAUUUAUUGAAUUUAUGACAAUUCUAGUACAAUUCUAACACAAUUUUAAAAAAGAAAAAUAAAUCAAUUUUCUAAAAACUCAAAUUUAUUGUAUAAAUUUUUAUUAUGGUUAUAAAAAUAAGAAACAAAUCAUUUUGAACCAGUCAUGAAAAAAUAAUCUGAAACAUACUUGUACACAUAAAUCUUUAUUGUCAGUUUAUAUAAUUCAUAAUUAUAUAAUAUAUAGAUACGUGUUCCCGUGUCCUACAUUUUAGAUAUUAUACGUAAUUUUGUGUCAAUAUCGUAUCAGUGUCCUACAUAGCCUACAUAUGUGCAGUGGAAAGCCUAUAUUUUUGCUAGAUAUGUAUCAAAAUUGAGAUGAUUUAUUUUUUUUAUUAAAGAGAAAGAAUAUAUAAAUAAAGAAGUAUUUGAGGUGCUUCCCACUCAUAAAAAAAAGGUAAAUAUGUAGUAAAAAAUAUAAUAAAGAAUUGAUUAGAAGUGUGAUCCCUACUCUCUCUCUUUUCCCAUAAAAAAAACCUCCCCUAUAACUCUGCACUGAAACACAGUACAUGUUCCUUUCCAUGAAAGCCCAUGUUCAGAUUUGUCUAUAUAUUUUUAGUAUACUUCUCGUUAUCCUUACUUGUCAAUAAAUAUAUUUUUAUUUUUCAAUUUGUAACGUAAAGAUAGUAUUUUUUUUCUGUGCAAUAAAGACUGCAUUUUUUUAUGGACGGACAACUGAUAUUUAUCAUAUUUAUGUGUGUAAUAAAUAGUAUUUUUUAUGGACAGUAGAACCAUACUUUUUCUUUUUAUGUGAAAACUGAUAUGGCAGCAACAUGUUUUGGAGUGAGUAGUAAGGACUUUUGCCCUUCUCAGCUCUUGUGAAUGGAACAAUACACAGUUGGAAGGAUAUUUGGUCCCAGACUUGAUAAAGUACACUUGCAAAAGAGAAAAAAAAACUGUUACUCACAUAUUUCGUUAAAAUCUUGGGAUCACACUUCCAAAGGCAUAAUCAACUCUCAGCUCUUGGAUAAUUUUUUGUUUCAGUAAAAUGGGUUGAGUUGUUUUGGAAAUUAAUUAAGUACUUUUCUAGUAUUUCGCAUCAUUGUUCCGAUUUUAAUGCCGGAUUAAGAAAUUAACUUGGGUUGUACUUAUGAAAAAGGGAACUUAUUAUAUAUGGUAUGUAUGAAGAAAAAAAAAUACUUAUGAAAAAGGGAACUUAUUAUAUAUGUAUGAAAAAAUAUUAUAAAAUCUCAUUCAACCCUAAUACUUGAUCAUAUUUAAUAAUUAUAAUCAAUAUAUUCAAAUUUUUUUUCCAUUAUAUUUUUGUGAAAGCCAACUUUCGUUUAAUUUUCUACUUUUUUUGAAUUUACAACUUGUCAAUUUUUUUUUUUUUUGAAAUGAGCCAAAUUUUGGUAAAAAAAGUUAUGGAUGGUUUAAUGCUAGCUUAAUCCACGCUUCUUCUUAUCUAGGAAUGACAACGCAGGUUGACCCAUCCUGCACUUGGCCAGUAAACUACGGUUCUGGUUGGUCCGUCCCGCAUAGAAUAUGAAGAUUGAUUUUUCUAGCCCACUCCGCAUAAUGAUUGGUUCGCAGGUCUGCAGGCCAGCUCGCAUAAGAAAUAUUUUUUUUAAAAAUUAAUAAAAAAUAAUUUUUUAAAUAGAAAUUUUGAAUAAAUUUAAUUUUUAUUUUAUUUAGAUGUAUUAGGUAAAUGGUCUCAUAAUAUUAUUCUCAUGAGACUUGCGUAGUAAGAUGUUAUUAAAAAAUUCGGAAUGUGAAAUGUAAGGCUGCAUUAAGAAAAUAUGGGGGUGCAGAAAAAAAUUUCUACAUUUUCUAAACCUGAGUUAUGCGGGACAGCCCACCCCCCGCCUCGCACUCAACUUGCGUGGGUUGAGGGUUAUGCGAGGCGGGUCUAAGCGAGCCAACGGGUUGAAAUAGGCAGCCCGCCUUGCGUUUUUCUAAACGGGCCUCGAGCUUGGCUAGUUCGGUAUUGUGUGUGGAUUGCAUUAUAGGUGAAUUGUGGAAACAAAGAAAUAAGAAGGUUUUCAAGAAUGGACGCGUAGACUACAUUGAAGUCUUUACAAUGGUGCAGUUGCAGGUUUGGUCAUGGAUUACCUCAAAGUUACGCUUAACAUGUUUCUCUUACUCUGGUUGGUGUCUAAAACAUUUGUUAUGCAUGAGAACAGUCAAAAAAGGAAACGUUAGAGGAGCUAGAUUGGGGUGAAAAGGGUUUCUCAAUGUUUGAGGUGGUGUUUUUAUUUUUAUUUUUGGGUAUGGGAUAGACGUUGUAGCUUUUGUGCUACGCAGUCUUCUUCAACACGUCAAAGCAAGUUUUAGGUUGGAAGACAUCUUUGUUUUUUUAUAAGGAUUAUCCCUAAAAUACUUCAAUUUUUUUUUUUGCCAAUAAAAAAAUAUCUGCCGCAGUAUGUCAUCCCUAUUCUUAUCAAGUUUCCAAAUUGCAACCCGUAAUUUAUUGUAUUUUAUUAAAGUAUAAAUGAAAAUAUAAAUGCAUUUUAUGUCUUAAAACCAUAUAGUGGAAACCCUAUUUUAGCUAGAUAUGAACCAAAAUUGAGUUAACCUAAAGAUAUAUUUAUGUUUUUCAAUUAGUAACGUAAAGAUAGUUAUUUUUGUGUGCAAGAAAGGCUACAUUUAUGGAUGGACUGCAGAAUUGCGUUUGCUGAUAAAAAAAAAACACUUCCAAGGGCAUAAUCAACUCUCAACUCUUGGAUUACUGUUUGUUUCACUAAAUGGGUUGAUUUGUUUGGGAAAUUCACAAAGCACUUUUCUUUGUAAAAUUUAUUGAAAUGGUGUUUUAGUGUAGGACUGAAGACAACUUUGGUUUAAGGUUCUACUUUUCACUGUUUUCUUCCACAAAAUGAGUCAAACUUGAGUAAUUUUAAAGGUAAAUUGGCCCGUUUUGGUAAAAGAAAUUAUGGAUUGUUUAAUACUAGGUUAAUCCACACUCAUUCUUGUUCAGUUUCCAAAUUUCAACCCAUAAUUUAUUGUAUUUUAUUAAAGUAUAAAUGAAAAUAUAAAUGCAUUUUAUGUCUUACAAAGCAAACCAUCAUAGGCCCAUUCUAGUAAUUCAACCUGCCACCACCUAAACUUGGCACAUGUUACAUAUGUUUUAUCUCGUCAUCACCGUGAUUCAAAUGGAAGUACCAUAAGACGGUUCUCACCUUCCACCUCCAAUAUUUCACCCUUUGCAUUACAACUGUAAUUGGAGUGUUUAGAUGAUUAUUAUGCACCAGACUAACAUCAAAUGUAAAAAAAUAUUAACAUACAAACAUCGUGAAUAUGAAUUUAACUGGUUAAAAUAAGAUAUUAUGGAAAAAAAUUCGUCGAUAGACGGUGAGUGAUAACACAUAUUUUCACUACUAAAAAAUAUAGAAGUAGUAAAGUAGUAGAAAGAUUUAAAAAUGUUUAAAGUAGAAAUAAGGAUUAUUCAAUGAUAGCUUCGCCCAUGGCUCAGGGUGAGGAUAAUUGUUCUGGUCUAGAAGUUUAGAGAUCCUUAGCCAGAGUGGUCCCCUCUCCUUAUUCUAAUUGUUUCUUUUAAUUUAAUAUUUGUUUAAGAAAGUGACACCUAUUUUGCAAAAGAAAUCACCCAUCACAGAAGCCAUUGCAAAGUUUAGGCAUUACCUCUUAUGUUUGUUUGGAUUGGGAGGAAAUUUGAAAGAGUGGAUUUAGAGUGAUUUGAGAAGAAAAUGAGGUUGUUUGAAUUGAGAUAUGUUAGAGUAAAUUUGUGAAGAAAGUUUAUGUCACAAUGUUUGGAGCAGGAAUCUUGUGUCUGUUUUGUAGGCUAUGGCAAAACCAUACAACAACCAUGGAGGAAUCAACCAGUACACAAAGAGUAGAAGUGGGUGGAUCUACACAAGUUUGCAGGAAUUAACAUACACCUUGUGUUGCCAAACAUCAUUUUCUAACAAGACCAACUUGGAGUGGGCAAGAAAAUAAAAACCUAUAAUGGGUGAAGGAAAAGGCUGGGAGGCACACGUAUCAAUUUCUAGAAAACCUGUAAAUCCAGCUGGAGAAUAUAUAUAGGCAAAGUUGGGGAAGGGCAACGAACAGAAACAAUAGACAUCACAGCCCACAAUUUCACUCGGGUUAAGUUGUCAUCUUUGAACUCUUCGACUUGAAGUCAUGUUUUUGGCCUACACUUGUCAUUGUACGUUGUAUGUAGACCAUUAGUAGAAUUGAUGGAGGUCUUAGCCAUAUGUAGGAAUAGUUGUGCACCAGGUUUACAACUUUGGAGGGCUCAGGAAUACCUUCUUUGGCUAGUUUUGUAUGUUUUUGGGGGCUGAAUUAUGCUGGACAAUGAUAGUUAACUAGUCCCUUAUUUAAUUACUUUUUUCUGAUAAAAAAAAAUAUAAGUCACCAAAGAAUCCACUCCUCAACUCUAGGGAGACAUACAGGAAUAAUAAGGACAUUGACUCAAGUAGCAACUCAAUUUUAUUGGAAAGACCAUCACAGACAUUACAUUUUUUGUCAAGUUUGGUACUACUCUAGUCAUGAGUACAUAUCUUAUUAUUCCCAGUUUGAUGGUCAAUCAGAAGCUAUGAAUUAUUGCUUAGAAAUGUACCUUCUUUGAUUUACUUAUGAAAGGGUGGACCAAAUUAUUGCCUUGCGUAUAAUUUUGGUAUAAUGCAUCAUACCAUUUCAGCACUAGCACAUUUUAAGGUAGUUUACUCUGUGGAUCUACUUGCAAUUGUGAAAUAAAUAUAUGACUCUAAUAAUCAUGUUGAUGUGCAAGAACUAUUACAACAAAAAGAUUAAUUAUCUUUACUCAACUGAAACAUAAUUUAGUGAAGGCCCAACAUACUAUGAAAAAAUAUGCAAUUAAAGAGGAGGAAUUUCGAAUUCAAGAAGGGUGAAUUGGUUUUAGUGAAGCUGCAACCAUAUAGGCAACACUUGAUGGCCUUAAGAAAAAAAUCAAAAUUGAAAAUGAGAUAUUUUGGACCUAUCAAACUAGAUAUGUUGCUUACAAGCUGUUACUUCCAGCCACUACAAAUUUAGAGAUGGAACAGUGGAUGAGGAAGAAUUGUUCCAUAUGGCUCAGCUGAAGGUCUAAAUGUGGAUGAAAAAUAAAUUGUGUGCUCUCAUUUUUUCCUUUUCUCACUAGCUUUUAUGUCCAAAUCAGUAUCUUAGAUCAAUCAAGUAGUUAUCAGGUUUUAUGUGAAGGUAAGUAUCAUGGUGUUGGGAGUUUUCAUGAGAAGCUUUGAAUUAUGGUGCACAAUUUAUUUACUUUUUAUUCUCUGGAAUUAUAUAUAAUAAAAUCUUGGAUGCGAUUACUAUUCAACAAGCUACCUUCUACGAUUUAUAUGUAUCUUAUAAUAGUGUUAACUUCUUAGUUGGGAAAUGUUUUUGUAAUCUUGUAGGAAUUGGAGCAUGGAAAAAUAGGGGACUUAAACAGCACCAGUAACAACAUUUUCACAAGGGUUGUAGUCAAACAUGUUGGGCUUGAAUUAGGGGAUGUAGUCUCAUCUCUGGUUUAAAGUUUGUCAUAUUCUAUGGUAAGGAAAUGGAAUUUUGGUUUCAAAUCUUUGUAAGUUUAACUCCUUUUUCAGUACUAAAUGGCUGGGAAAGGUGAAUGCUUUCUGUUUUGCAAGAAAGAAGAAAGAGGUGAGUCUUCUGGUUAUGAGACAAGAGGUUUCAAGCUGAGCAUAAAAGAAAUAGUAUGACUUGACUAGCAGUCAAAGGUAGAAUUUGAUGGCACAAAAUAUUGAUUCAAUUCUGAUAGCACAGAACAUUGAUCCCAUCCCAUCUUUGUCUCCGGUUGGUUUUCUUCUUCUGCCAUUUUGAUUUAAUUCUUUGUGUACAACUUAUUGUGCCUGGUUGUUGUUCUUUUUGGAACUAUUUUGACUUUUUUGGAUCAUGUGGAUCUAUGGAGUGUGUCCGUUUAUUGGAACUAUUUUUUUCAGGAUUUCUAUAGAUAACUUUUUAUAUAAGGUUGAAUUAUCUCUUAAUUAUACAAGGGUUAUAUAAAGGUUGAAUUAUCUGCACAACCAACAUUUGAGAAAAAUAAGGACAACUAUUUCCUAAUUAAACUCUUUCUCCCUAACUGCAAGCUGUCAUAACUACAGGCACAAUUUUUAAUUUGUUAGUAAGAGGAUUAGAUGUGUCCCUUUCAAUUUAUUUAUUGUUAGUUGAUAAAAAAAUCUCUUAAAUGUUCUUAUUAAUUAUAUUUUAAUUGUUGAUAUCCAUCGUAUUUUUCACGAUUUUUAAUUGAAAUUAUGGCAUGGUGAUCAUAGUGGACCAUAUAUUCCACUCCCAAUGUUUAUAAAUGAGGUUGGUCCUAUUUUGUAGUGGGUGCCUAUUUUCUUAUCAGUAGUGAGGACAAUGAGUUUGGACCCCCUUGGUUUCCUUUCUGUCUUCUCAUUUCUCUGUUUGCUGCUGAGAUAAUAACUACUUCUCACUUUUUCCAUAAUACUAGUAGUAAACUUGUAGGAUUACUUUAAGAUUUUAGGGUAAACUUGUUGCUUAACAUUCUUGUUACUUAGUUGAUUUAGAAAAAAAAUGAAGUAUAAAACUUCCAUAAACUUACAAAAGAGAAGAAAAAAAUAUAGGGUUAAUUUUAAGGGAAAUAGGAAGUUAUUACUUAAAUCAAAAUUGUAAUUAAUCUACUCUUUACUCAAAGAUGGAACGUAAUCAUGAAAAGAAUGACCGAUGAAUAGUAAAUCUUAAAGAAUGUGUAGAGAAUUUAGAAUUUUAGGUAAAUAAAAUAAAAUUUUAGAAUAAGUGAAAAAUAAAAUUAUAUAUUAUCAUAAUUUAUAUUUUUUAUCCUUAAUAAAAUAAAGUUCAACCUAAAUUGUUAAUGUAAUGUUGGAUAUUUUUCAUAGUGUGUGCCCCAUGGGUGUGUUUUGUAACCCCUACUACUUAGGAUCCUACACAUUUUUUUAUGUGUGCUGGGUCUCUUUAACUGCACCAUUAAAUAUUAUUUAUUGAUAAACAGUGUUGAAGAUGUAUAUAUGAAAUUAUUAAAUAAAAAUUAAUUUUAAAAAAAUAAUUAAUCAUUAUAUUAAUUAAAUUAUAUAUUAUUUGAGAUAAAUAAAUGAUUAAUAUUUAAAAUAAUUUUGUUAAUAAAAUUUAUAAACUAAUUUUUAAAUUAAUAUUUUAUUAGUUAUCAAGAUUUUAAUUAUAAAUUACUUUAUCAAUUAUUUAAUAUUUUAAAGUUGAUUGUUAAAAUUUUGAUAAUUAAUUAAAUAUAAAUUUAGAAACUAAUUUAUAAAUUUUAUUAAUAAUAAAAAUUACUCUAGAUACUAAUAAUUUUUUUUUAUGUUUUAAAAUAAUAUUUAAUUUAGUUAAUGUAAUAAUUAAUUUUUUUCUAAAAAUUAUUUAUACUUAAUUAUUUUCUUGUAGUGAUAUAUAUAAAUUAUUAUUAUUAUUAUGUAUAUUUAAUUUGAGGUGUAAUUUUAUCUUUCUUUAUUUAUAAUAUUAUAAAAAACUUACAAAAGUUAGAUGUAAGAGUAAAUUAUGAUAAUAUAUAAUCACCAAAUUAUCUAUUUAGUUUAGGAGAUAUAGUUUUAAAAUAAAAUGGAGAAUAAAUAUAUAUUUUUAUGAGAUGAAACAGAACUUUAUGUAGAAUUUUUUGUGUGCCAAAUCGAUGUUUUUUUAAGCUAUGCUUUUAUGAGUUGGUGACAGGGGUUUUUCAUUGUAAGAAUAGAAUUUAUACUUAAGAAGUCUAUGUCGUUCAUAAGAAUUUCUUGAUACUUAUAUAUAUGAUUUGAGACAUCCUUAAAAUAUUUUUUAUUAAUUUAUUUAAUUUUUUAUUGAUAAAAUUUUUUUUACAGAUUAAAAUAUAGAUUAGUUUUUUAAUUUGUAUUUCAGAUUUUCUUAAUUUAUCAUGAAGUUGUAUAAAUUAAAAAGUGUAAAGUAGUCUAGAAAUAGUUGCACAAUUAAUUUUCAUUAAUUAAAUAUUAAAUAUAGUUUUAGCAUAAUAAAAAAGGAUUAUGCCAAAUUUGAAUUUCUUGAAGUCUAGGAUUGCUUGUAGUGUCCUUUUCUCAUCAAUUCUCUCCUUUUAUUUGUUUAAAACACCAAAACUCGAUAUUGUGAUGUCACCAACCCAUACAAAGUCCAAGCUACGUACUGAAAUAUCAUAGUGAUAUCUCAAAGAACACUUACUAUAGUUAGUUGAAAUUCGUAUUAGGUGAGAGUCCUACUCUUUAUUUAUUUAAUGCACAUAGUUAAUUAUUGCGAACACAACCAUUUUCAACUCACUUUUAUUAUUCAAUUGUUUUUUUAUUUAAUAUUAGUCCUCAGAUACACAUUGUUACUUCUGAUACACAUUAUUACUUCUGACAACGCAGUGUACUUGUGGUAAUAAAUCAUCGGAGUCUGAUGUAUUUCUUGGGUUAAAAUGGAGUUUCUAUUAUGCAUUCUUUAUCCUUUAAAACUCCAGUAACCCCUAAUGCAUGGAUACCAAGGCCCAGAGACGAGCUAUUCAUCUGCACCAACCGCUGAGGCAAUGCUUUUUUCCAAUUGGAAGCAGCCAAAGGCAGGAUAGAAAGUGGUAGUCAGAAUAAUAUUGUUUUGUUAGGCAAAAGAAUGAGGAAUAUACCAAAUGGGCAGUAUUUGGUCCAUAGUAGCAACUCAGUUUUAUAGAAGUUGAUGCCAUAUAGGAUGCAGGAGGCAAUGGUGUUCUGUUUUUUAGUUCUUCACCACUAAAUAGCUUUGUUUUUCAACAUACUGCUAGUGCUGAUUUUUCUGCAGGACCUUUAUAAUUUUUGGGUAUGUAAGGGUAGUGGGGUUUCAUUAAUAGUUUAAGAAUUUUGAGCUGUGUUGUUUUACAUAGUAUGUUAUGAACUGAGGAAUUCUUAAAGUUGAGACACCCCUAAAACUUAAAACAGUUCAAAAUUGAUUUUAUCAUUACCACAUUUUGGGUACUACCUUUAGAGGAAAAGAGUGUAUCAUCCCUAUACUAAAGCAUAUCCACCUUAAUUAUACACAUGUCAUAUUCGUGUCUUACCAUUAAUUAUAUUUUAUAUGCAACACAACAAGAAAGAAAAAUGAACAAGAAUAUUAGAUAUAAAUUAUCCGUCAACUAAAAAUUACUACACUUAUAAAGGCAUACUUUACUUGUUAUGCUCGUCAAUUUCUUGUUCUAACUAACCCCUCCUUAAUUAUUAAAAUACCUCGCCCAACAAUUUUUGAUGAACUAAGGGUGUAAGGGAGGUUGUAAAAUUAAAAUUAAAAAUAAAAUUAAAAUUGAGUUGUAUGCGAUGAAACUUCCUCUUAGCGACGGUGUACCACACAAAAACUUGUAUCCUCCUCCUAACCUUGUCUGAUAUGUACUAGACUGUUCUCGUCUAAUAUGUAAUAGACAAUCUCUUCCCUAUCUGUAUUAGACGGUCUUGUCUUCUCCUACCUAUACAUUUGGCCUUGCUCUUCCUUUGUAAAGUUACAUUAAUCAAUGAUAAGUUUAUAUUUUAUUAUCUUUGUCACCUAUGUUCUCUUUCAUUGUAUCAAGAGCCAGUAAUGACUUCUUCACCUACAACGCUCAACUCUAACAUUUUUUCGUCUUCGACAUUUGCUCCGCGUACCUUCACCAUGCCUAUCAAUCUCAAGCUCAAUGAUGAUAAUUUUAUCAUCUGGCAGUAGUAGGUUCUUGCCACCAUUCACGGCCUUUAACUUACACAUUUCUUGGAUAAUUCAACGGUUCCUUCAAAAUUCAAGACUUUUGAAGAUUCUCAAGCAAAUAAUAUCAAUCCUGAUUUUUUGCGCUAUGAGCAAUAAGACCAACUUAUCAUUUCUUGGCUUCUUACUUCAAUGUCAACUCCAUUUCUCACCAAGAUGGUGGGUCUUGAAACUUUUGUGCAAAUUUGAACACGCCUGAGAACGUAUUAUGCCUAUCAAACCAUAGCCAAAAACUGAAACUUCACCUACACACAUCGAAGAGAGAUCAUAAUAUUAAUACUUAUCUUCUUGAUAUCAAGAAGACGGUUGAUACUCUGACAAUUGUUGGAGCUCCCAUCACUACUGAAGAUCAUAUAGAGGUUAUCCUUUAUGGUUUACCUGAUGAGAAUGAUCAUUUCAUUAUGUCCAUCACAUCCUGCCUGGAUCCGUAUUCUGUUGAUUUUGAAUCCCUUUUUCUUGCUCAAGAAGAAAGGUUUGGGAAACAUUGCCUCGCUAAUCAAAUUCUUCUGCAAGCCCAUACCUUUUCAAGUUCGUGGUAUUAUUCAAAUCAUCAACAAGAUAGAUAUCACAAUAAUGGUUUGAAAAACAGGGGAAGACGUCUGCCUUUUCAUUAUAAUACUUCUUAGUGUUCAAUGCAUUUUCCAGUAUCCAAAAAUGACAAUCAUGAUUCUUGGAAUUCUUCUUGGUAACACAAUAAAUCCAAGUAUCAAAUUUGUGUGAAACUUGGUCUUACAACUUUACGUUGUUAGACAAGGUGUGAACAGAGUACAUCGUCUAAUGCUCAUGCUAACCUUUCUCAAUUUUCGUCUACAAUCAAUUUUCGUUUACAGAGGUGCUUGGCUCAUGUAAAUUUACAUUGAAUGAAGAUUAAAGUUACUAUAUAGAAAUUGUGUGAGAAUAGUGAGAAUUAUUUCUCCUAGCUUACUCUUAUAUUUGUGAGUGGUUGCUGCAUAAUGCAGCAGUGUGUUCCAGCAGGGUCUGUCAUAUUGCAGCAGUACCCCUGGAGUUUUAAGAAGGGAAGUUUUUUGUGGGGUGUGCUCUGCUUGUGCUUGGUUUCUUCUCAGUUUUCUAUGCAGUGUAUGCGGCUGUUUGAUUUAAAUGUUAGGAAGCAUUAGCUUAUACUUUGGUUUGAUUGUAAUGUUCUUGGUGUGUAAGUUAGGUGGUAGGCUUGUAUGUGUUUUCUGUAAAAGGGUUGGGACACAUCUCAAGUGUCCCUUUUAAUUCAUUUAUUCUUUGCUAAAAAAACAACUUUACUGUGAUAUUAAUGAAGUUUUUUUUUUCUUUCCCUUUCUUUCGUCCUUUUCGUAAUCAACUGUGAUUUCUAGGAAACUAUUUAAACAAUUAAGAGAGGCCAAAUUUAUAAUCGGACUAUGAUAUACUUAAUUGAUAAAUAGAAAAAUAUAUUCGUCAGUAUGAAGAUAUUUUCUUACAAAUGUUACGUUGAACAUUUCUGUACGAAAUACUUGAAUGGUUUUCUAACGCCGCUGAAAAUUAAACAUUUUCACUGAUAUAGCAAAGACCAAUGCAAAAACUACUGUGAAUGCAACCAUCACAGCUGCAACCACUCCAAGAAAAUCAUGCUUGAAACCAAAGUAGCUUCUCACAAAGCCUUCCACUGUUGUUGUCCCAUCACUGGAUUCAAUGCUUUGCUUUAUAUCUCCAUACUGUGAAGCCACCAAUCCAUACAAACUCCAAGGAAUUGGAUUUGCCCAACUGUACCACCUCCACCAUACUGGGAUCCUCUGGUAGACCAUGCCAAAAAGGAAUAUUCUCAUAAAUUUGCUACCUUCCAUGCUUGGAGAGUAUGAAUCUAUUGUGCAAUAAAUAUGAAAGGAAGAUGAAACUUACAGGCCGUGGGAUUAUGAAUCCUGAGAAGAUAUUCCACACUGCAUAAAAUCCUGAAGAAACUAUACUGGAGAUGUGUUGGUUAGGGGUCAAUGCCACUGCCAUCAUUCCAUAGUAGGUGAAGUACAGGAAGGUAAAGUACAUGAAGAAUAGGCACCACAAAAAUUUAGCUACAGUGCACUCAUAACCAAUCAUUGCAUAAAUUAUCAUACUAUAGACUACAGCUUGUCCAAGCACAUAUGGGAGCUCAAUCAGAACCUGCAACAGAAAUAUAGAUUAGAAAGAAGGAAUGCAGAAGUAAAUUAUUUACUCUUAAUGAAGUAAACAGAAGUAAUAAUUUCAAAUCCGGGUGAUAAUCACCUUAAUUACUAAGACAGACAAAUUAUCAAUUACCUUUGGAUUUACUUUCUUUAGAGUUUAGAGAUUAACUAAUCCUGGUUGUUGACGAAAAAUUUAAUGAAUAAAUUUCCAACACAUUCAUGAUUUUUAUGCAUGUAUACAUAAUAUUAACAGUUUGCUUUUCAUCAGUGAUUGAGAUCACAUAUUUUUCCUUUAUUUUCUAUAUAGUGUUGUGAAGAUUAUGAUUUAGGAUCAAAUAAAACUCAAAUAAAAGACAUGUAUUUAGAAAGUGGAAUUGCUUGCCUGGGCAAAAGCAUAUGGAAAAGCUGAAUACAUUCCAGCUGCUCUCUCCCUGUAAAAGACUGUCCGCUCAACAGCAACUACUGGCUGCACUGCAAUAGAAUUCUUCAUACUAAGAAGGAGAACAGCAAUAUACAUGGAGCCCAUGACAUUGAAAAGAUCUUGUUGCUUUUCACGGUAAUAAUUGAUGUGGAAGUUUUAUGUUUGAUGAAAUAGUCGCAACAAAACAAAUGAGAUUGACAUGUCAAAGUUUCUUGUUUAAUAUUAGAUUUUGGAGCCAAGGUUCCAAAACAUGCUUCCAAGCAAAACAGUUACAAUAGCGGAGAAUAGAAAUCUUAGAAAAACGGCUACAAUAGCGGAGAAUAGAAAUCUUAGAGUAGUGCAUUGAGAAUUGCGCAGUAAGUCCAAUGUUGUUUCCAUAAGCAAGCCAUAUUGGGUGAAAAAGGAAGUUAAGUAUUGUGAAGGAAAAUAAAGAUCUUUCGAACCAUAAGAUGGAAAACUCAAUUCUUUAACAAGUGUUUUAGUUCUCCUGAGACAAAUGACAAAUGACAAAUGACAAAGACCAUCUAUCAGCAACCAUUUUACUUCUGAACUGAAAAUAAUUCUAAUAAUAAACAGAACAAUAUAGCACUUUUAGACCUUUAAGUGCUCUAUCAGAUUACUUUCGAGUUUGUAGUUUUAUUACACUAUACAACUGGAAAUACCUAUAUUUUUUUUAUGUUUUUUUCAUCAGCAAUAAAUGAAUAAAAUUAAGGGAUACUUAAGGGGUAUCCCAACCCGUGUACCACAGCCACAAAGUUACACUUCCACAAAAGAAAGUAUAACCAAAAACCUAAACCUACAAAAGGGAAUGCCAAACCCAAACCAGCACUUAUAAAAGAACCAAAUGACAGAACCAAUAAAAUAACAGCACCCAACACCCAACUGCACUCCAAAGAACAGCACAGCAACACCUAAAAAAUCCUAACACUCUUCACCAGUUUCCCAAGCUGCUCCCCACGACACCCUUCUAAUCACACCCUCUCCAAUUGAAACCUUCAUUCCUUCACCGACCCCCCCAACACAUACGAAUUAUAGUAGUCCAACCAGCCAACCAGUCCACCUUUACACCAAACAGCAAUUACGUAACCCGACAUAACGCCUUGGUAUUUUGUCAUGACAAAAGGGUUAGAAACUUGGUUACAGAAAGCAGAAUAAAUUUGCUACACUGAUUUUGUUUCACCUCAUCAAAUGAUUCAAAUAUGUCUAUGAUAGGCUGAUGGAUGGUACAAACAACUGUUCUUUCAGUGUCUACAGUGUUCCUAACCGUCCUCAUGACAAUAGUUGCUGCUCUUGCAUCUAGUCCAGAAGUUGGUUCAUCCAUGAAUACAUGCCUUAGUGGUUUCAAUUCCACCAGUUCCAUGACUUCCUCAAUGAACAUCUACAAUCAUAAAUCAACGUCAAACAUCAAAGUGAUUUUUUUAUUGUUUAACACUAAUAAUAUUGUUUCCUUUGUUACUUAUAACUUAAUAAUUCCAAUCAUGAAUGGUAUUCUAGUUUUUGCGCUUACAAAUUACUGUGAAAAUGUGCUUGCAAACUCUAAGUAUGGGCUAGUCACAACUGAAUCCAGAAAAGGUAAGUACCAGAUUACUUGAAUAAUUCACAUUAUACGAGAAUGCAGAAUUACUGAAAUGGUUACUUCAUGGCAACCUCAAGUUUUCAAACUAGUUGGCAGCCUUUGUUAAACUACAAUGAAUUAGCAUGAAUGACAGUAAAAGGCAUCAAAUUUAGAUACCAACCUUUCUAGUUUGAGCAUUGAUGUCUGGGGACAAUCUGAGCCAUGCUGAAUAAAGCAAGGAUUCAUACACAGUAACAUUAGGAGAGUGGAUGUCGUUUUGCUCACAGUAUACUGAAAUUCUUGCAAAUGUUUCUUGCUUUUUCUGAUACCCAGAGAUUGUGAUGUUCCCUAAAACAUAUCCUGCAGUUUUUCUACCAGCAAGUACAUCCAUCAGAGUUGUCUUGCCUGCUCCGGUGACACCCAACACCUGGCCUGAAGGAUCCACUGACACACUUCAAAAGAACCAAAUUAUUCUCAACAACUCCUUGGUUCCUCAUUUCCUGCAAGUAUUUGAUAAUUUUUAAUUCACAAUAUAUGCAUGUGUUUUCAAAUGGUUUAAUUUUGUUUCUACAUUACCUGUGGCAUGUCCACAGCAUAUGUUACGUCAUCAAAGGUGAUAGAAUGUGGUUCAAAAGGAAGAACCAUUCCUCUAUAGCUAGAGGGAAAAGCAUGAGAAGAUGUAUUUCCACAUAUACUUUCGUCAUUUCUCACUAUGAAAUAGUUCCAGCGUUAUCAAUUAAAUGUAAUGUGAAUCGGUAAUGAACUAUUAGAAAUAUAGAGUUGACUAUGUUAUCCGUUCUUAAGAGACGAAGUACCUUUAUUACUACCACCAUUUUGCUCAUUGUUUUCAGGUUCUUCGGAUAUAAAAGCAUGUCGCUUCUCAGGUGCUGCAAAAUCAAUUUUAUCAAAUUAAUAGGUAGAUUUACCUUAUAUGGUAAUGUUUAAGCUGAAGACCCUCACUGCUCAUAUACGUAAGAGAAAGGAUGUAGCCAAAGUUGAAAAGUAAUGUAUAUCCAAUCAAAACCACAACGCCUAUCCAAAUCCAAUAUGAUUGGAUGAAGAAUCCCCGUGAUUUCAAAACUUCGACUCCAAGAGGCUCCGAAGAGUUAGGUAGAACCUAUCAUAAAAAAUUAUGUUCACAUAUCAUAUUAUUUAUAUAAUAAAGAAGACAUACAGGUAUAUAUUAUUUAAACUUACAUAUCUCCAUCUCUCCGCAAGGAACUCGUUAUUUACCAUAGCAUUCUGUCCAUACAUCUUAGGUGAUAUCCAGAAGCCCCAUAACCACCACUUUUUUUUAUGUUGUCUGGAACCAUAAAGAGGACAAAGGUGCAUUGUUCGUGUAGAACAUAAUGGAAAGCAUGGGAUUGGUCUAUUUUGUAUCAACGGUACCUUUUGAUAGAAUAAAACCACUCGUAGGAAAAAGGAAGGUCACUGUAAAUGACCCAAGUGUUAAAGCUGCAUUCAAUUCCCUCCCUACUCCUGCAAGAAAUCGGAAUAAUGCGGAAGCCAUCUGGUUCACCACUAAAAGAUCUGCAUUAUGUAGACAGAAAAUGAAUGUUAUUUUUUAUUUUCAGGGUAAAGUAGAAAAUAUGACUAGAAAGAUCAACGAGCAUGGUUGUUGAAUAUGUAUAAACACAAAGUUGUAUUUACCUUCCAAUAUUUGGAUCAAAUCCAAUGACAUAGUAGGUUAGGAAUAGCCAAACGGCAACUUCUACAAAAGUCAUAGGGAUUUUUAGGAUCCAUGCAGGCAGAGCAUAUGCCCAUGAAGGAAAAAACAGAUUAUCCCUUUGCUUGUAGAAAACAGGAAGCUUUAAAACGACCAUGGGAAGUUCAGCAAGUCCAUUGAACAUAAUCACAGCAAGGCCAAAGAACAAUGCACCGACAUAUAUCCCGCCAUCGGUCACAGAGUCUCUGCACAUCUUAGUCCGGAGGAAGAUGGUCAUGGCAAUAAAUGCCAUUACAGCAAGGUAAAUGGAGGGACAAGCUAUGAGUAAGUAAGACAAUAAUAGCAUUAUAUGACAUGACAAUUAAAUGAAGCAUUCUAAUUUUCAAACCUACUUGGCUCAACCGGAAGAUGUAAACAAAUGAGUUGCGCUUCAUAAGUAAAUAUUCACUUGAUAAGCAAGCUUUUAACAGUUCCCAUUUGCCCACUCCAAACUUUUUGGUAUUCAAAGCAGCUGGGUGACUCUUAGACCUGUCAAAUUCACUAUCAAGUUCUUCACGAAGGCUUCUCCCAACAUGAAAUGACUUGAGUGCCUCGGAGAAUUCUUUCGCUCUGACAAAUCUAUAAGGUUGAUCUUUGUGUGCCCAGUACUGUUCCUGGUCAUUCCUUGAUGUUACCUAUAGCAUAUAAUAAUCAAUGGUCACAACUAAAUUUAUAAAACUCUCUUAUACCGGUGCAGACAAAUUACAUCUUUGAGACAAUACACAUGGACACUUACUUCUUGCAAAAAGUCUGCCACACCUUUCCUCUCAGGACGUUGAAAACCCAUUGAUUGGAAAAAUUGAAGCACAUAUUCGCGGGGACCCUGGUACAGUAUAUGACUAUCAGAGAGUAGAGUAAUGUCAUAAAAAAGAUUGUUAGUCUGGGGCGCUGGCUGCAGGAGUGAGAUGACUGUUGUUCCUUUGAGAAUGUGAACACAUUGCUUGAGUGAAUUCACAAUUUGGAAGGUUGUUGAGCUAUCCAAACCAGUAGAUAUUUCAUCCAUGAAUAGAGCCUUAGCUGGUCCAACCAGCAUCUCUCCUAAAUUAACAAGUUUAUAAUGAUAUUAUUUCUCGCAUACAUUCAUUUGAUUGAGUGGUGUAAACUUAGUAGUACUUUUGGUGACUGAAAGAAGUUUUGUUUUACCUGUUGUAUGGCGUUUCUUUUGUCCACCAGAGAUGCCCUUAACAUUGUAUUUCCUACAACUGUAUCAGCACAUGUCUCCAGUCCUAAAAUCUGCAAAUACAAGUUAGAUAUUAAAAGAAAAUAUUGUAAUGAGUGGAUCACGGUGAUUGGAGAAGCGUUAGAAAGAAUGGAUUUUAUACCCUUAGGACGUAAUCUGUUAUCAAAGUUGUUUUCUGGCCUUCCGUUGCUACAGCCUGAGUAUUAAGAGUCAGAAGGACAACCAGUUAACAUCUGUAUGUAAAAAAAGAAACUGAUGAUUCACCUAUAACUAAUUGAGAUGGCAACUCUUAGAGUUGGUGCCCUAAUUUUUGGCAUGGCCCAAAAGCUUGGAGGUGCAACCAAUUUGGUGAUGAAAUAAUUUUGAGAGGCAUGUCCGAGCCUCAGUAACAGCUAAGCAGUCAUACUUUUUUCUUUGGUAUGAACGGCUCUUAAUAAUCAACAAUAUAAAAAAGACUUAGGGAUGCAAGUGAAAUGAGAAAAACACAUUCCUUACAAGUGAUGGACUCUUUUUUACCUUCAUGUAGGCAUCAAUAUCUGGAUCAGGCAUGAUUUUUUUUUUUAUCAACAAAGAAUAAAAUUAAAUUAAGAGGGACACUUCAGGUGUGUCAACCCUUAUACAAAAAACCAACAACCACAUAAUAAAAACAUUCAAUACACUGUCAAGGUUGCUGCAUAAAUAUGCAUUAGGAACUGGUUGCAGGGCCUAAACCAAACACACCGGCUGCAUAAUACUUAUGCAUUGUAUUAGCCCCUAGGAUCUUUGCCAAAUAUUCCUGUGAUUGGCACCUAAUACCUUGAUUGUUCCAUUGGUUUCAGAAUUGUAAUACUUGCUUGCACCCACCCACCUCCUACUUAUACCCACAUAACUCUACCCCACCCCUGCACCCUUCUUAAGUGGCCAUAUAUAACCGGAUAAUGACCCACCCAGCUGCAUCUAUCAACCACUAUUAUUGGCCACUUAAGUCCAUACAAAUCCCAAUAUCUUCCCAUCUUUACUUGAUUUCUCUCUAGUUCAUGCAGACCGAAAUGCUGGUUUGAAAACUUCUGCAGAUUACGUGCAUAAAAGAUGACAGACUUGCAUUUCAGAGACUACACCUUGACCUUGUGGAUGCUGACUCUCCUCAGCUUUAAGCUUUUCCAUAGUAGCUUUACUUUAUAAUCAAUGUUGUAAUUGAAAAGAGUUAUGUAGAUGUCUACUUCACUAGACGAUUCAUUCCUCCAUCACUGCAAAAAACCUUUUAACACAAAGGAUCCUCCACGGCUUCCAGCAUAGGCAGAGAUACACAUUCCUCCAACUCCCAAAACCAGAAAAUCCAGCAACACAUACAGCCCCCAAAACCAGAGGUGAACUACAGAGCAACAAAGCAUCAGAUAGCAUCCUAGAAGUGGUGCAAACCUGCAACUGCUAAGAAAAAACACCAAAGACCAGGACACAACCUAACCAACACCCAGUGAAAAUAGUGCUGAUUUUUUGGGAAUAAACCUGGUUUCCAGAGCUGACAGAUGAAAACUAAAACAAAUUUGUAUUUGAAAGUUUGAUGUGGGUGAUUUCCUUUCCAGCCAUAACACCAUGUGACUCUCUGUAACUAUCUCUCUCCUUAACGCUACUUUAAAGACAAACUUCCUGAUUUGGCCUUGGAUAGCUGCUGCCACAUCUGCCAUCAGAAACACCUGCAGUGGAGUAGCAUUGAAGCAGAUGCUAACAAAUUAACAGCAUCUUUGUCAGGUUCCAGUAUGGCCAGGAGUAACUCCUCCAUUCGAGCUCAUCACUUGACACUCUUUUCUCCUGCACAUAACAGCAAUUUCUCCACUUCAGCCUCUGCAACUAACCCAACAAGCGAGCCCCUCCUAGGUGAUCCAGUUGUUGUUUUAGUAACUAAACCAUUAAUAUGAUUUCUUUGCCAACACUGCUUCUGUCAUCCACAAUUACCUUCUUUUUCAGCGUAUACAUUGAAUGCAUUGGAUAGGAUGGGUUUUCAUAGUAAAUGGAUACAAUGGAUUCGAGGUUGUAUGGAAUUUGCUUCAGUCUCAGUGUUGGUUAAUGGGAGUUCUACGGAGGAAUUUAAACCAACGAGAGGAUUGAGGCAGGGCGAUCCUCUAGCCCCAUUCCUCUUUAUUGUGGUAGCCAAAGACCUUGCUGGGUUAGUAAGACAAGCUAUAAAGGUCAAUUUUCUGAAUGGUGUAAAGGUUGGAAGUAAUGAGGUCGAGUUGUGUAUGUUGCAAUUCGCUGAUGACACACUCUUUCUUCCUAUGUGAGAAGUCAUUCAAUAAUGUGGUGACUAUAAAGUCAAUUCUCAGGGGUUUUGAGCUAGCUUCAGGCUUGAAGACUAAUUUCCAUAAAUCAAAGCUAGUAGGCAUCAAUGUUGAUAGAAACACUCUUGCAUGCUACACAAAAACUCUGAAUUGCGCUCAGAUGGGAGUACCUUUUAAGUAUUUGGGCCUAGAAGUGGGAGGAAACCCAAGGAAGAAGCAGUUUUGGGAGUCUAUUCUAAACAAGCUAAAGGCUAUACUCAAUGUGUGGAAAGGGAGAUUCCUGUCGAUGGCAGGGAAAAUAUGCCUAGUUAAGUCUGUUAUCACUGUUGUACCUCUUUUCUACUCUCCCUUUUCAAAACACCGAAAUCUGUCUGCAAAAGCAUUAUCACUAUACAAAGGAGGUUCCUAUGGGGUUGGAGGAAGGAGAAAAGGUCGAUAUCAUGGGUAAGCUGGGAAAAUGUGUGUAAACCGAAAGGGGAGGGUGGCCUGGGUUGCAGAGAUAUUCGAAAGUUUAAUUAUGCUCUUCUGGCUAAAUGGAUAUGGUGCCUUUUAUCUUAAGAGAAAGGGAGGUGGAAGGAGUUACUGGUCUCGAAGUAUGGGUUGGACUUAGAAAGUUCCCAAACACAAGUGAAAUACCAAUCCUGGUGGUGGAGAGACUUAUCUAAAGUAUGUAGGGAGGGAGGAGGUUUUGGCUGGUUUCAAGAAGAAUUAGGUUGGAAACUAGGAAGUAGAGACAAAGCUAGAUUUUGGGAGGAUGUGUGGGUUGGCAAUAUCAACCUCAAAACUUUAUACCCUAGGUUGUUCUCACUGUCUUUAAAUCAGGGUCAAAAGGUGGAAGAGGUAGGUGUAUGGGAAGAAUCUGUAUGGUGGUGGAGUUUAAGGUGGAGACGUGUCAGGUUUGAGUGGGAAUCCAUGAUGGAAGCAGAUCUGGUAAUGUAUAUAUCUAGGGCCAUUAUGAAUAGGGAAGAGAAGGAUCGCCGGGUGUGGGGGAGUGAAGUAUCAGGGGUGUUGUCUGUGUAUUCAGCGUAUGAAUGUCUAGCUAAGCAUGUUAGAGGGCCUCAUCACGAUCUUUUCAAGUUCCCAUGGAAGGUUAAAGCACUCCCCAAUAUGAUGAUCACAACAUGGAGGGUUCUUCUGGGUAGAAUGCCAACAACAUUGUGUUUGAGCAGGAGAGGGGUGACGAUGAACACAAUUUUGUGUGCAUUAUGUCAGGCUAAGGAUGAAUCCUAUCAACAUCUUUUCUUACAAUGCAAAUAUGCUCAGUGGAUAUGGUCGGUGUGCUUCAAAUGGAUUGGUAUCUUAUUUGUCCAACACAAUGUUUUAAAGACUCACUUUGAGAAUUUCCAUUUGAUUCAGGCUAGUAGUAACCAAAAUCUGGUAUGGAAAGGUGUCUGGGCAGCUAUUGUGAGUGUAUUUGGGAGAAAAGGAACUCUAUAGUAUUUAAACAAGGGGUAGUAGAUGCGGAAGAAAUAUUCUAGAUGGCACAACUCAAGUUGUGGUUGUGGAUGAAGCAUAGGGUGCACACUUUCAAUUAUUCUUUUGUGGAUUGGGUCCUGAACCCACUUAUAUGCAUUAGAAGAUUGAGUGUCAGAUGGCGGUCAAAGGGUCUCCAGGGUAGCAGAAGGACUUGUUAUGCUUUCAAUUCUGAACUUGUAUCUGAGACGGAGUAAAAAAAUAGGGGAAGUGCAGAUGUGCAGGGUGCAGAAAACGAAAGUUGCUGGAGGAGAAGUAUGAGGUAUAUGCUGGUGCUCUGGUCUGGUGCCUGUAGUGGAAAAAUCCCGAUGCAGGUCCAUUUACUCAGAGGUUAGGCUAUGGUGAGUAGAGAGAUGAUGAGCAGAUUCAGCUUAGGAUGAGAAACUUGCAAAGGGUGCAGAGGCGAGAAUUCAAGUAGGAAGCGGUGGAAGGUGGGUGAUGCAGGAGCUGUUGGUGUGGGGUAGCAAUUCAGAAGAACUAUCUUCUGAGGAAGCUCGAUUGUUGCUGCUAGAAUGGAAUGGAGUUUUUAAUUAUUCAGGAAAGCUAGUACCACUGCUGAGAGUUUACGUGAGUGGGUGACAAGGGACUAAGAAGGUAUAUUCUUUUGAAAGAUUGAAAUGCAUGAUUGUAGGUGUUGGUACACCAAGUUUUUCGUUAAGCUACAAGAUUCCCCCAAGAGAUUAUCUUUCCUUGUUUGAAGCAUCCUAUGAGGCUUAUCCUACAGAAAUUAUUUAAUUUCUUGUACUCGUGGAUGUGGUGGAGUACUUUUAUCCAUGAUCAAGCUGCAGAUAACAGUUUAAAGUCUGGUGAAACACUGAAUUCUCUUCACUAAUACUACAAUCUAAGAGUUGCAAGUAUCCUUUAGAAUUUACGUGGAAGUACGAAGUGUAUAUGACGAGGAUGACGAGACGAGGCUGCAGUUUGGAAGUGUAACAGAGAUCAAUCUAUUGAUCAUGGUGAAGCAGUUCUAUCUUGAGGGGCCUGUGAGGUGCUGUUCUGGUGUGACGCAGCCAACUUUGCAGGUGCUGGGUUAAUGCAGACCUAGUGAUGCAGGGCAGGUUGGACCAUUUUAUAGCAGAUUUUUUUUUUGAUCAGCAAUGAAUGAAUUAAAUUAAGAGGGAUACUUUAGGGGUAUCCCAACCCGUUUACAAACCACAAACUGAUUAUACCGCUGAGCAGCCAUAAAGAGGCUAUACCUGCAGCGAUAGAUACAAGAUAAACCCUGCAGAAAAGAAACAUAGCAGCAGGAUUGAGCUCACAAACCCACUAGACCCAUCCUCCAUGCAAUCAUGAGAAGGGUGCUCUUAGCUUAUGAUCUAACCUUUAAAAAAAAAUCCUAAGGAUACCUCAUUAGCAGUAAAGAAAACAGCAAGUACCCCGAAAAUUUAAAAUCACAACUGCAGCAAAAACAGCAAACACCAAAGUGCUUGUAUAAAUUCUCAUCUGCAGCAGACUCCAAAAAGUGAUGUUUUCUUUUGCACUCCAACCCACCUCACCCAUUUCUACCCCUGCAUGUUCUACCAAGACCACCCCUUCCCUCUAUAAAAACCAAAAACCAUCGUCCAAAACCAGCACCUACAUACACCUACUGUUGUCCUUCCGUACUCCACCCUUCCAUAUCUUCCUCUGUUGUAGCCUUUUCCAACUUACCCAUGCCAAGUAAAACCAAAAACCCGUAGAUGUAUGUACACGAUGUGCAGCCUCCAAGCUCCAGCAAGCCUGUCCUGCACCACUAACCCAGUUCCAGCAUUCUCACACCUAUACCAGUGAUGUUUACGCCAGCUCACAUGUGGGUGAGAAUAGAUUGAGUGAAGGAUAGUGCACUUCUCAAAGCAGUGCAUACUCUCAAAGCCUAUUACAGCACCAGAGCUAUCUCAACUUCUCCCAAGAUCCCUAUCACUUUCCGACCUCCAACACCAACGCAUCCCUUUCCAAGCAUUUCAGCUUGCUUGAAUUGUCCUUGGGUCAUCAUAGGCACCCCUACCCAUCCUCUGCUCCCAUCCUGGACANNNNNNNNNNNNNNNNNNNNNNNNNNNNNNNNNNNNNNNNNNNNNNNNNNNNNNNNNNNNNNNNNNNNNNNNNNNNNNNNNNNNNNNNNNNNNNNNNNNNNNNNNNNNNNNNNNNNNNNNNNNNNNNNNNNNNNNNNNNNNNNNNNNNNNNNNNNNNNNNNNNNNNNNNNNNNNNNNNNNNNNNNNNNNNNNNNNNNNNNNNNNNNNNNNNNNNNNNNNNNNNNNNNNNNNNNNNNNNNNNNNNNNNNNNNNNNNNNNNNNNNNNNNNNNNNNNNNNNNNNNNNNNNNNNNNNNNNNNNNNNNNNNNNNNNNNNNNNNNNNNNNNNNNNNNNNNNNNNNNNNNNNNNNNNNNNNNNNNNNNNNNNNNNNNNNNNNNNNNNNNNNNNNNNNNNNNNNNNNNNNNNNNNNNNNNNNNNNNNNNNNNNNNNNNNNNNNNNNNNNNNNNNNNNNNNNNNNNNNNNNNNNNNNNNNNNNNNNNNNNNNNNNNNNNNNNNNNNNNNNNNNNNNNNNNNNNNNNNNNNNNNNNNNNNNNNNNNNNNNNNNNNNNNNNNNNNNNNNNNNNNNNNNNNNNNNNNNNNNNNNNNNNNNNNNNNNNNNNNNNNNNNNNNNNNNNNNNNNNNNNNNNNNNNNNNNNNNNNNNNNNNNNNNNNNNNNNNNNNNNNNNNNNNNNNNNNNNNNNNNNNNNNNNNNNNNNNNNNNNNNNNNNNNNNNNNNNNNNNNNNNNNNNNNNNNNNNNNNNNNNNNNNNNNNNNNNNNNNNNNNNNNNNNNNNNNNNNNNNNNNNNNNNNNNNNNNNNNNNNNNNNNNNNNNNNNNNCCCCUAAAAAGGGAGAGUAACUAUGUGGUUGAUGUAUACGGGUUGGGAUACCCCUGAAGUAUCCCUCUUAAUUUUAUUUAUUUAUUGCUGAUAAAAAAAAAAAAUUAGACAAUCCUCGUCUAGUUUGUGAUAGACAAUCUCUGUCCUAUCAGUAUUAGAUGGGUCACGUGUGACCUUACUCUUUCUUUGUAAAGUUACUUCAAUAGUAAGUUUCUCUUUUCUUUUCUUUAUCUUCUGUAUUCUUUUUCAAAAUCAAGAAGAAGAAAAAAAUGGAAAAGAUAAGGCCAACGUACACUGGUGCAAUGGAAAAAACAUAGAGGAAAUUGUUUCAUCAUGGUUGGUGAGAGAUGAAAGGCACAACUCGUGGUCGAUAGGAGCUUAGACCGAAAGAAAGGAAAGAUGGAUCAUAACAACAACUUUACUGUGAUAUUAAUGAAGUUUUUUUUUUUCUUUUUCAUUUUUGUUAGUUCAUUUUAAGAGUGAAUAUUCCUCUCUUUCGUCCUUUUCGGAAUCAACUCUGAUUUCUAGGAAACUAUUUCAACAAUUAAGAGAUGCCAAAUUCAUAAUCGGACUAUGAUAUACUUAAUUGAUAAAUAGAAAAAUAUAUUAGUCAGUAUGAAGAUAUUUUCUUACAAAUGUUACGUUGAACAUUUCCGUACGAAAUACUUGAAUGGUUUUCUAACGCCGCUGAAAAUUAAACAUUUUCACGGAUAUAGCAAAGACCAAUGCAAAAACUACUGUGAAUGCAACCAUCACAGCUGCAACCACUCCAAGAAAAUCAGGCUUGAAACCAAAGUAACUUCUCACAAAGCCUUCUACUGUUGUUGUCCCAUCACUGGAUUCAAUGCUUUGCUUUAUAUCUCCAUACUGUGAAGCCACCAAACCAUACAAACUCCAAGAAAUUGGAUUUGCCCAACUGUACCACCUCCACCAUACUGGGAUCCUCUGGUAGACCAUGCCAAAAAGGAAUAUUUCUCAUAAAUUUGCUACCUUCUAUGCUUGGAGAGUAUCAAUCUAUUGUGCAAUAAAUAUGAAAGGAAGAUGAAACUUACAGGCCGUGGGAUUAUGAAUCCUGAGAAGAUAUUCCACACUGCAUAAAAUCCUGAAGAAACUAUAGUGGAGAUGUGUUGGUUAGGGGUCAAUGCCACUGCCAUCAUUCCAUAGUAGGUGAAGUACAGGAAGGUAAAGAACAUGAAGAAUAGGCACCACAAAAAUUUAGCCACAGUCCACUCAUAACCAAUCAUUGCAUAAAUUAUAAUACUAUAGACUACAGCUUGUCCAAGUACAUACGGCAGCUCAAUCAGAACCUGCAACAGAAAUAUCAGAAAUAUAGAUAAGAAAGAAGGAAUGUAGAGGUAAAUAGAAGUAAUAAUUUCAAAUUCUGGUGAUAAUCACCUUAAUUACUAAUACAAACAAGAUAUCAAUUAUGGAUUUGACUCUAAAGGAGUUACUUUCUUUAGAGUUUAGAGGUUGAAGUAACUAAUCCUGGUUUUUGACGGAAAACUUAAUGAAUAAAUUUCCAAGACAUUCAUGAUUUUUAUGCAUGUAUACAUAAUAUUAACAGUUAGCUUUUAAUCAGUGAUUGAGAUCACUUAUUUUUCCUUUAUUUUCUAUAUUAAGUGUUGUGAACAUUAUGAUUUAGGAUCAAAUAACACUCAAAUAAAAGACAUAUAUUUAGAAAGUGGAAUUGCUUGCCUGGGCAAAAGCAUAUGGAAAAGCUGAAUACAUUCCAGCUGCUCUCUCCCUGUAAAAGACUGUCCGCUCAACAGCAACUACUGGCUGCACUGCACCAGAAUUCUUCAUACUAAGAAGGAGAACAGAAGCAUACAUGGAGCCCAUGACAUUGAAAAGAUCUUGUUGCUUUUCACUGCAAUAAUUGAUGGGGAAGUUUUAUGUUUGAUGAAAUAGUUGCAACAAAACAAAUGAGAAUGUCAAAGUUUCUUGUUUGAUCUUACAUUUUGGAGCCAAGGUUCCAAAACAUGCUUCCAAGCAAAACAGCUACAAUAGUGGAGAAUAGAAAUCUUAGAGCAGUGUAUUGAGAAUUGCGCCAGUAAGACCAAUGUUGUUUCCACAAGCAAGCCAUGCAUUGGGUGAAGAAGGAAGUUGAGCACUUUGAAGGAAAAUAAAGGUCUUUCGAACCCAGAGAUGGAGUACUUAAUUCUUUAACAAGUGCUUUAGUUCUCCUAAGAUAAAUGACAAAGACCAUAUAUCAACAACCACUCUACUUCUGAACUGAAAAUAAUUCUAAUAAUAAAAAAACAUAUUGGCCUUUUAGACCUUAAGUGCUCUCUAUCUUACUACUUUCGAGUCUAUAUUUUUAUUACACUAUACAACUGUAAAUACCUGUAUAACUCCGAAUUUUUAUACACCUCGGCAAAAUCAAUCCCCAAAUCCUUUUCUUUUGCUGAACUUGUGACUUCCAACAUCCAUGUUGCUGGAUUAUAGCCAUCUUUAAUCUUACCGAUACCUUGGAUUUCCUUCAUAAUAAAAGCGUGACAUGAGUGAAACUUUUGCAUGAAGAUUGAUUUGAAGCAAAACAUGAGUUCAGUAUUCCUCAUUUUCAUAGCAUUUAUAUUUUCACCUCAAAGUAACUAAUUAAAUUGGAAGAACGACGUCCAAGUGGCCCCGCAUAUAUCUCUUGCCCCCCUUGCUUCAUUAGAAAAAUCUGCAUUUUGUAGUGACAAAAGGUUAGAAACUUGGUUACGGAAAGCAGAAUAAACUUGGUACACUUAUUUUGUUUUUCACCUCAUCAAAUGAUUCAAAUAUGUCUAUGCUAGGCUGAUGGAUGGUACAAACAACUGUUCUUCCAGUGUCUACCGUGUUCCUAACCGUUCUCAUGACAAUAGCAGCUGCUCUUGCAUCUAGCCCAGAAGUUGGCUCAUCCAUGAAUAUUAUGGAAGGAUUUGCUACAAGUUCAACUGCAAUUGUCAACCUUUUACGUUGCUCUAUUGAGAGACCAUUAACACCUGGCAAUCCCACUAAUGCAUGCCUUAGUGGUUUCAAUUCCACAAGUUCCAUGACUUCCUCAAUGAACAUCUGCAAUCAUAUAUCAGCGUCAAACAUCCAAGUGAUUUUUUUAUUGUUUAACACUAAUAAUAUUGUUUCCUUUGUUACUUAUGACUUAAUUCCAAUCAUGAAUGGUAAUUGAUUCUAGUUUUGGCGCUUACAAAUUACUGUGAAAAUGUGCUUGCAAACUCGACAAAUGCAGUAUUGCUGAAAUGCUUACUUCAUGGCAACCUCAAGUUUUCAAACUAGUUGGCAGCCUUUGUUAAACUACAAUGAAUUAGCAUGAAUGAGUGUCAAAGACAUAAAAUUUAGAUACCAACCUUUCUGGUUUCAGCAUUGAUGUCUGGGAACAAUCUGAGCCAUGCUGAAUAAAGCAAGGAUUCAUACACAGUAACAUGAGGAGAGUGGAUGUCGUUUUGCUCACAGUAUCCUGAAAUUCUUGCAAAUGUUUCUUGCUUCUUCUGAUACCCAGAGAUUGUGAUGUUCCCUACAACAUAUCCUGAAGUUUUUCUACCGGCAAGUACAUCCAUCAGAGUUGUUUUGCCUGCUCCAGUGACACCCAUUAGAGCAGUGAGAACACCUGGCCUGAAGAAUCCACUGACACCCUUCAAAAGAACCAAUUUAUUCUCAACAACUCCUUGGUUUCUUAUUUCCUGCAAGUAUUUGAUAACAUUUAAUUCACAAUAUAAGCAUGUGUUUUCAAAUGGUUUAAUUUUGUUUCUACAUUACCUGUGGCAUGUCCACAGCAUAUGUUACUUCAUCAAAGGUGAUAGAAUGUGGUUCAAAAGGAAGAACCAUUCCUCUGUAGCCAGUGGUAAAAGAAUGAGAAGAUGUAUUUCCACAUAUACUUCCAUCAUUUCUCACUAUGAAGUAGUUCCAGCGUUAUCCAUUAGACGUAAUGUGAAUUGAAAAUAUUACAAACCUAGAGUUGACUAAGUUAUCUGUCGUUAAGAGAAGAGGUACCUUUAAUUGAGUGAUCAGUGAAGUUAUCUUUUUUGUAUCUCAUACCACCAUUUUUUUCAUUGUUUUCAGGUUCUUCGGCUAUAAAUGCAUGUUGCUUCCCAGGUGCUGCAAAAUCAAUUUUAACAAAUUAAUAGAUAGAUUUACCUUAUAUGGUUUAUUGAAUAUUUAAGCUGAAAACCCUCACUGCUCAAAUACGUAAGAGCAAGGAUGUAGCCAAAGUUGAAAAGUAAUGUAUAUCCAAUCAAAACCACAACGCCUAUCCAAAACCAAUAUGAUUGGAUGAAGAAUCCCCGUGAUUUCAAAACUUCGACUCCAAGAGGCUCCGAAGAGUUAGGUAGAACCUAUCAUAAAAAAUAUGUUUUAAAUAUCAUAAUAUUUAUAUAAUAAAGAAGACAUACAGGUAUAUAUUAUUUAAACUUACAUGUCUCCAUCUCUCCGCAAGGAACUCGUUAUUUACCAUAGCAUUCUGUCCAUACAUCAUAGGUGAUAUCCAGAAGCUCCAUAACCACCACUUUUUUAUGUUGUCUGGAACCAUAAAGAGGACAACAAUGCAUUGUUAGUGUAGAACAUAAUGGAAAGCAUGGGAGUGGUCUAUUUUGUAUCCAUGGUACCUUUUGAUAGGAUAAAACCACUCGUACCAAAAAGGAAGGUCACUGUAAAUGACCCAAGUGCUAAAGCUGCAUCCAAUUCCCUCCCAACUCCUGCAAGAAAUCGGAAUAAUGCGGAAGCCAUCUGGUUCACCACUAAAAGAACAAGGUAUUGUCUAAAAAAUCUGCAUUAUGGAAACAUAAAAUGAAUGUUAUUUUUUAUUUUCAGGGUUCAAGUAGAAAAUGAGACUAGAAAGAUCAACGAGCAUGUGUAAACACAAAGUUGUCUUUUACCUUCCAAUAUUUGGAUCAAAUCCAAUGACAUAAUAGGUUAGGAAUAGCCAGACGGCAACUUCUACAAAACUCAUAGGGAUUUUUAGAAUCCAUGCAGGCAGAGCAUAUGCCCAUGAAGGAAAAAACAGAUUAUCCCUUUGCUUGUAGAAAACAGGAAGCUUUAAAACGACCAUGGGAAGUUCAGCAAGUCCAUUGAACAUAAUCACAACAAGGCCAAAGAACAGUGCACCGACAUAUAUCCCGCCAUCAGUCACAGAGUCUCUGUGCAUCUCAGUUCGGAGGAAGAUGGUCAUGGCAAUAAAUGCCAUUACAGCAAGCUAAAUGGAGGGAGAAGCUACGAGUAAGACAAUAAUAGCAUUAUAUGACACGACAAUUAAAUGAACCAUUCUAAUUUCCAAACCUACUUGGCUCAACCGGAAGGUGUGAACAAAUGAAUUGCGCUUCAUAAGUAAAUAUUCUCUAGAUAAGCAAGCUUUUAACAGUUCCCAUUUCCCCACUCCAAACUUUUUGGUUGUCAAAGCAGCUGGGUGACUCUUAGACUUGUCAAAUUCACUAUCAAGUUCUUCUCGAAGGCUUCUCCCAACAUGAAAUGACUUGAGUGCCUCUGAGAAUUCUUUAGCUCUGACAAAUCUAUAAGGUUGAUCUUUAUGUGCCCAGUACUGUUCCUGGUCUUUCCUUGAUGUUACCUGUAGCAUAAUAAUCAAUGAUCAAAAUUAAAUUUAUAAAACUCUCUUAUACCGGUGUAGACAGAUUACAUUUUUCAGACAAUACACAAGGACACUUACUUCUUGCAAAAAGUCUGCCACACCUUUUCUCUCGGGACAUUGAAAACCCAUUGAUUCGAAAAAUUUAAGCACAUAUUCACGGGGACCUUCGUACACUAUAUGACUAUCAGAGGGUAGAAUAAUGUCAUCAAAAAGAUUGUAAGUCUCCGGCGCUGGCUGCAGGAGUGAGAUGACUGUGGUUCCUUUGAGAAUGUGAACACAAUGCUUGAGUGAAUUCACAAUUUGGAAGGUUGUUGAGCUAUCCAAACCAGUAGAUAUUUCAUCCAUGAAUAGAGUUUUAGCUGGUCCAACCAGCAUCUCUCCUGCAUUAAUAAGUUUAUAAUGAUUAAACUUCUCACAUACAUUCAUUUAAUUGAGUGAUGUAACGUAGUAGACUUCGGGAUUGAAAGAAAACAAGUUUUGUUUUACCUGUUGAAAGGCGUUUCUUUUGUCCACCAGAGAUUCCCCUUAGCAUUGUAUUUCCUACAACGGUAUCAGCACAUGUCUCCAGUCCUAAAAUCUGCAAAUACAAGUUAGACAUUAAAAGAAAAUAUUGUAAUGAGUGGAUCACGAUGAUUGGAGAAGCGUUAGAAAGAAGGGAUUUUAUACCCUUAGGACGUAAUCUGUUAUCAAAUUUGCUUUCUGGCCUUCAGUUGCUACAGCCUGAGUAUUAAGAGUCAAAAGCACAAUCAGUUAAUAUCUAUAUGGAAAAAGAAAAAACUGAUGAUUCACCUAUAACUGAUUGAGAAGGCAACUCUUAGAGUUGGUGCCCCUAAUUUUUGGCCUGGCCAAAAAUCUUGGAGGUGCUACCAAUUUCGUGAUGAAAUAAUUUUGAGAACUUUUUUUAGUAUGCUCUUGUGCUAGGAUCUUUAUAUGCAAUAAUAUAAUCAAUUUUCAAUAUAGUGAACUGUUUGUCCUCUGCCCAUAAUUUAUUUCCUGUGAAGAGUUUUCUAAGUUAAAUCUGUGUUUAUUCUUUUCUACUUUCUUUAUUCACAUUAUUUGUAAUUGUAACUGAAAUUAUUAGCUACUUCUUUGUUGUGCUUUUCGUAUAUCAAAUUUAUCACUUAUGUUUUCUUCAAAAGAACCCUUCUGGACGACAAAUUUUGCAAUUAAUAGCAAGAAGUUGAAGAGGAGAGGAAUGUCCAAAAUUGAACAGGGUAUUAUAGUAGCAUUGCUAAGCUGUCAUACUUCUUUGUCUUUGGCUUGAAUGGCUAUCAGUAAUCAACAAUAUAAAAAAGGCUAAGAGAUAAAAGUCAAAUGGGAAAAACACAUUCUUUGUUACCUUCAUGUAGACAUCAAUAUCUGGAUCAGGCAUGAUAUUUGCCUCUUUUUCUCUUCUCGACAAUUCUGCAAGUAAAUCUGCAUAAAGCCAAAAUUUAUACACAUAAUCAAAACUUAAAUUCCACGUAUAAUGUUAGCAUGUGUUUUGAACAUUGAACAUGAACAAAAGUCAUUAUUCGUGCUGCAGAUUAACCAUAACGAGGUCCAACUCCUUGGACUCUUGCAGAGAAGGCCAGGGUUUCUCUGACAGUCAACUCUGCAAUAUGAAGAUCAUUUUGAUUGACAUAUGCUGCAGUUCUUUGGGGUACAAACUCAUCCAUCGCAUGACCAUUAUAAGUCACCUUUCCAGAAAACUGAUCAAGAAACACUAUAUCACCUAGAGAUCCAAGAUUAAAAAAAAUAGAGAAAAAACAUGAAAUAUCUUUAUAAAAAAAAAUUAUUUUCUUGGAUGCCCCAACCUUUAACUUUGGAUCAAGUCUUGCUGCCAAGGCCAACAAUAGUGUGGUUUUUCCAGAACUUGGAGGGCCCAAAAGUAAUGUCAUUCUGAACAGUAGGAAAUGGAAACAUUAUAUUGGUUCCGAAGGUGCUGGUUAAUUACCACCUUAUAUAUAUAGAACACCACUUUCAUUACCUGCCAGGCUUUAUUAUUCCACUGACAUCCCGGAGAAUAUGUAUAUGUUGUUUUCUACUUUGUAGAAUAUGAAGAGAGUUCAACAAACCCUUUUAACGAAAAUAAGUGAAACCAAAUAUUGAACAAAGUUAGAACUCCUUCUGUAAGGUCAAGGUGCAUAUUCUACUAAAUAUGAAAGCUGGUACCAAUACUCACCUCUACAAUAUUAACCAUGAAGUUAGCGAAAGUAGGCAAAGCUCUAGUUCCUACACUAGCUUCUGCUUCGACAUUCAAGUUCUCAAACCGAACCUCUAUUGUCGGAAGAUCAAUUCCAACUCUGAUAUCAUCCAAUCCAAGGAAGCAAGAUAGGAGUAGGAGAAGCCAUCCAUGAGUGCAUUUCGAUCAAAGACAACUUCAUUAGAAUCAGAACAAAAGAGAAUGGGAGUCUUACCUAUCAAUUCGUUCCCUUAACUUGAGCAAAAACUUCUCAUUGUCCUCUUCAGCAGUUCUGAUCAGUCUUUCAAGUAAAGCUCUCCUUUCUUGCAACCCAAGUUUGUGCACAUCAAUCUCAUUCACUUCCCCUUCGGAUGAAGUGAACAAAGCUUUCCUCAUACGCGAAACGGUGGGAAGUUUCUGAAUGGCAGCCCAUUUGAGAGCCUCUUCAUCAUCCUCUUUGUGCAAUGAGUUUGAGAAGAUAUCCUUAUCACUGUCCCUGCAAAUGGAUGAACUACCAUUCCUGAAACUACCCCCACCCUCCAUUCAACCGGACAAAAUAACAAAACAAAUAGAACUUUAAACCCUACUGUAGCCACCGCUAAAAUCUUGUUACUGUUUCGCAGAAACAAAAAGCAUUCUCAGUUUGUUUUGCCGAUGUUUUCAUGUGGUUGAAAGGAUCCAAUUAUUUUCCCAGAAUGGGACAUGCAGGAAAAAGGAACUAAGAACAUGCAGUUUUAGCAGAGUUAAAUAUGGUGGGAGGGUUUUGAAGUGGCAACAUAUGCAUAUCUGCGCACAUAAGUGUAGCCACCACCUUCACCUGCUGAAGAUGCAAUAGUAUGUUAUUACUUUGCACGAGCCAAAUAUUGUAUAAAAAAAAGGAUUACCUGUGAGACAUACGGGUAGUGGAAAGCCUAUAUUUUUGCUAGAUAUGUAUCAAAAUUGAGAUGAUUGACUUUUUUUUAUUGAAGAGAAAGAUUAUAUAAAUAAAGAAGUAUUUGAGGUGCUUCCCACUCAUAAAGAAAGAAAGAAAAAAUAGAAUAAAGAAUUGAUUAGAAGUAGUGUGAUCCCUACUCUCUCUUUUCCCAUAAAACACUGCACUCAACACAGUACAUGUCCCUUUCCAUGAAAGCCCAUGUUCAGAUUAGUCUAUAUAUUUUUAGUAUAUUUCUUGUUAACCUUACUUAUCAAUAAAUAUAUUUUUAUUUUUCAAUUUGUAACGUAAGUAGUAGUAUAUUUUUUUUUUCUGUGCAAGAAAGACUGAUUUUUUUUUAUGGAUGGACAACUGAUACUUAUCAUAUUUAUGUUUAAUAAAUAGUAUUUUUUAUGGGCAGUAGAACCAUACUUUUUCUUUUUAUGUGAAAACUGAUAUGGCAGCAACAGCUUUUGGAGUGAGUAGUAAGAACUUUUGCCCUUCUCAGCUCUUGUGAAUGGAACAAACACAGUUGGAAGGAUAUUUGGUCCUACACUUGAUAGAGGACACUUACAAAAGAAAAAAAAAUACACUACUCACAGAUUUCGUUUUUCUAAAAUCUUGGGAUCACACUUCCGAAUAAUCAACUCUCAGCUCUUGGAUUAUUGUUUUUGUUCACUAAAAUGGGUUGAGUUGUUUUGGAAAUUAAUAAAGUAUUUUUCUUUCUAAUAUUUAUUGAAAUGGUGUUAGUAGGAGUGAAAGCCAACUUUUGUUUAAUUUUCUACUUUUUUUAUUUUACAACUUGUCAAUUUUAUUUUGGUUGAAAUGAGUCAAAUUUUGGUAAAAGAAGUUAUGGAUUGUUUAAUGCUAGCUUAAUCCACGCUCCUUGUCUAGUUUCUAGUUUCCAAAUUUCAACCCAUAAUUUAUUGUAUUUCAUUAAAGUAUAAAUGAAAAUAUAAAUGCAUUUUAUGUCUUAAAACCAUAUAGCGGAAAACCUCUAUUUUAGCUAGAUAUGUACCAAAAUUGAGUUAACCUUACUUAUUAUAGAUAUAUAUUUAUGUUUUUCAAUUUGUAACCUAAAGAUAGUUUUUUUUUCUGUGCAAUAAAGGCUACAUUUAUGGAUGGACCGCAUAAUUGCGUUAAUUCUGCUGAUAAAAAAAAUGCUUCCAAGGGCAUAAUCAACUCUCAAGGGCAUAUUACUAUAUCUCAAGGGUACUGGAGAACAAGAUUGCUACUAAGAUUAAUUUGACAAAACAUGAGAUUUUGGUGGAUAUUACUGUAUGUUGCUUUUGUAAGGAGAAAGAGGAAACCACAAGUCAUUUGUUCAUUGAAUGUAGAGUUGCUUGGUUAAUAUGGAAUUUAUGCUAUGAUUGGGUAGGGGUGAAGUUGGCUGAUCCUCUUGAGCCCGCUUCACAUUUCUUGCAUUUUAACUUGAUUGACGCUCCUGCUACUGUCAACUUAGCUUUUAGAAAUAUUUGGAUUGCUUUUAUUAGUGAAAUUUGGAAUCAUAGGAAUAAGCAUAUUUUCAAGGAAGGAGUGAUUGAUCAUUCUGAAAUCUUCUUUUUAGUUCAAUUGAAGGUAUAUAUGGUCUUGGGUUACUUCAAAAGUUCUUUUUGCUUGUUUUUCCUUUUCUUAUUAUUAUCUUGAUCCUCUAGUCUAUAUGUUUUCAAUUAAAAACAAGUGAUGACUGGUUGGUUGGGUUGGUUUUCCUUCUAUAGUUUUGUGAGGGACAAUUGUUCAGUUUUAGAUUGAUGUGGACUUUUGUCCAAAAUGUAUAAGGGUUGAACCACUCUUGAAGUGGUUCAUAUUUAUUUAUUUAUUUAUUUUUCUUGUUGAUAAAAAUAAACUAGAUUCUACAUAUCAUUUUUUAUAUGGGUUGGGGUCUUUUAACUAUUAUGCCAUUUAAUUUAAUUAUUAUUUAUUGAUAAAAAAAUAUAUUAAAGAUGUAUAUUAUGAAAUUAUUAAAUAAAACUAAUUUUAGAGAAAAAAAUAAUUAGUCACGAUAUUGAUUAAAUUAGAUAAUUAUUUGAGACAAUAAAUAAUUAAUAUAAAUUAAUUUUUACUAUUAAUAAAAUUUAUAAACUAAUUUCUAAAUUGGUAUUUAAUUAGUUACUAAGGUUUUAACUAUCAAUUACUUUAUAUUUUAAAGUUGGUAGCUACUUAAAUAUCAAUUUAGAAACUAAUUCAUAAAUUUUAUUAAUAAUAGAAACUAUUUUAGAUAUCAAUAAUUUUUUAUUUUAAAAUAAUAUUUAAUUUAGUCAAUAUAAUGACUAAUUAUUUUUUGUCUCUAAAAUUUGUUUAUAUUUCAUGAUUUUCUUGUAGUGAUAUAUAUAAUUAUUAUUAUUAUUAUAUAUAUUUAAUUUGGGGUGUAAUCUUUAUUUAUUUAUAGUUUUAUAAAAAAACUUACAAAAGUUAGAUGUAAGAGUAAAAUUUAUAUUAAAAUAAAUUUUUAUAGAUUAAAAUAUGGAUUACUUUUUUAAUUUGUAUUUCAGAUUUUCUUAAUUUAUCAUGAAGUUGUAUAAAUUAAAAAGUGUAAAGUAGUGUAGAAAUAGUUGCACAAUUAAUUUUCAUUAAAUAUGAAAUAUAGUUUUACCAUAAAGUAAGAAAAAAAUAAAUAAAUAUGAACCACUUUACCCUUAUACAAAGCACAAUAAGUCUCUUCAUCCCUUCUAAACAAUCUAACCUUUUUAAACUUAGAACAACAAACAACCAAAAGAAGUAAACCUUACAAAAGUUUACUUAAUUGAAAACAUACAAGCCACAGGAUCAAUACAACACUCAGAUUAAGUAAAACAAGCAGAAACCAAGGCCAAGCCUUUAAUUGGGCCAAAAACACUUCCGAAAGAUCGAUCACCCUCCUUGGAAAAUAUGUUUAUUAUUGUGCUUCCAUAUUUCACUAACUACAAUAAUCCAAACACAAUUCCAAACAACAUUUACGUGGACAGGAGCAUUUAACAAAUUAAAAUGCAAGAAGUGAGCAGUUUGAUCAACAUGAUCAACCGACGCAAUCCCUAACCAUGCAUAACACUUAUUCCAGACUAACCAAGCAAUCCUGCAUUAAAAAAACAUGUGUUUUGUCGACUCCACUGCCAUCCUGUAUUGUUUAUCUCAUGGUGUAAAAAUGGGUUGAGUUGUUUUGGAAAUUAAUAAAGUAUUUUUCUUUCUAAUAUUUAUUGAAAUUGUGUUAGUAGGAGUGAAAGCCAACUUUUGUUUAAUUUUCUACUUUUCUGAUUUUACAAAUCAAAAUUAUUUUGGCUGAAAUGAGACAAAUUUUGGUAAGUUUUGGUAAAAGAAGUUAUGGAUUGUUUAAUGCUGACUUAAUCCACUCUCAUUCUUAUCUAGUUCCAAAUUUCAAUCCAUAAUUUAUUGUAUUUCAUUAAAGUAUAAAUGAAAAUAUAAAUGCAUUUUAUGCCUUAAAAUAUAGUGAAACCCUAUAUUUUAGUUAGAUAUAUGUAACAAAAUUGAGUUGACCUUACUUAUUAUAGAUAUAUUUAUGUUUUUCAAUUUGUAACCUAAAGAUAGUAUUUUUUUUGCAAGAAAGGCUACAUUUUUUAUGGAUGGAAUGCAGAUUUGCGUUUGCUGAUAAAAAAACACUUGCAAGGCAUAAUCAACUCUCAACUCUUGGAUUAUUGUUUGUUUCACUAAAUGGGUUGAUUUGUUUGGGAAAUUUAUAAAAACACUUUUCUUUUCUAAUGUCUAUUGAAAUGGUGUUAUAGUGUAGGCCUGAAAAACAACUUUUCAUAUUUUUUUUAUCAACAAUGAAUAACAUGAAUUGAAAGAAAUAUUUUAAGAAUAUUUCAAUAUGUAUACAAAAUUAAAAAAAAAAAGCUUAAAAUACAACAUAACACAAUCUAGUAGUGCACGAUCCAAUACCAGCAAGAGUUGGAUGUUCUACUUUGAUUUAAUGUUCUACUUUUCUGAUUUUACAAAAUCGUCAGUUUUAUUUUGGCUGUUUUCUUCCAUAAAAUAGUUAAAAUUUGGUAAGUUUUGGCAAAAGAAGUUAUGGAUUAUUAAUGCAAACCUAAUUAAUCCACACUCAUUCUCAGUUCCCAAAUUUCAACUCAUAAUUUAUUUUAUUUAAUCAAAUUAUUAAAUACAAAUAUAAAUGCAUUUUAUAUCUAUAAAUCACGUCCAAUAUUUACUAUAUUUAUGGAGAACCCAUAAUAUAUAUAUAUAUAUAUAUAAAAGAUGGAGAUUCAUGAAUAUUUUUUUUUUCAUCAGAAAUAGCAAAUUAAUAUAAUAAAAAAUAUUUCAACCUUUAUAAAAGUACAAAAAGAAAAAAAAAACCACUGUCAUCUACACCUAAACUACACAAUCAAAAAACUCUGGCCUAUACAAGCCUUCUGCUGCAGCAUAGGAAAGUACCACUGCUCCACUACUCACAACUAUAUAUAAAUAGGAUAACUAUAUAUUGAGAAUUCUAUUUCUUUAUACAAAUAUUAUAACCUUCAAUAUUAUUAUUAUAAUAUUUUUUUAUAAUAUUUAAUUAUAAAUUUACUUUUUAUUAUAUAUAUUUAUAUUUAAAUCAAUCGUACCAAGAAUUAUAUACAAUAUAAGAGUUGUCAAAGUAACGUAUAAAUAACACAUGUUAUCUAUCAAAAACUAGAGAAAAUAUCCCAAAAUUCAAUGGAUACAUGCAUUUCAUAAUCUCCAAUCCUACACAUUUAUGACCUUACCCUAAUGUUUCAAAUAAAUAUAACCCAAAAAGUAUAUUUGUGACAUAAUACUUGGAAUAAUUCCCAUCUUCGUAGAUCGAAUUCAAAGCAAGAAAACCUUAUCCUUCCACUCUUCAACAUCCUGUAUCACCCCAUCAAGUUUUUCCAUACACUACAAAAAAAAAAUCAGUAUUAUCUACGGAUUUUUAUCCAUAAAUCUGAGUCCGUAGGUAAAUUCAGCAUUACAUACAGAUAUUACCUACGAACAAUAUUACCUACGAACAUUACCCACAAAUUCUGAAUCCGUAGGUAAAUUCAGCAUUACCUACCAACUAUUACCCACAGAUCUUAUUACCUACCAACUUUUACCUACAAAUCUCUAUUACCUACCAACUAUUACCCACGAAUCUCUAUUACCUACUAAUUAUCACUCACGGAUCUCUAUUACUUACCAAUUAUUAUCACAAUAAUUAUAUACAUAAUAUUAAUAUAAUAUGAAGAAUUAUAAAAUCAUAAUUCAUAAUAUUAAUAAUAUUAAUAAUAUUUAAUAAUAUUAAUAAUAUUUAAUAAUAUUAAUAAUAUUUUAUAAUAUUUAAUAAUAUUAAUAAUAUUAAUACUAUUUAAUAAUAUUAAUAAUAUUAAUACUAUUUAAUAAUAUUAAUAAUAUUUAAUAAUAUUAAUAAUAUUUAAUAAUAUUAAUAAUAUUUAAUAAUAUUAAUAAUAUUUUAUAAUAUUAAUAAUAUUUUAUAAUAUUUUAUAAUAUUAAUACUAUUUAAUAAUAUUAAUAAUAUUUAAUAAUAUUAAUAAUAUUUAAUAAUAUUAAUAAUAUUUAAUAAUAUUAAUAAUACGAAGAAUUUUAAUAAUAUUAAAAAUAUUUAACAAUAAUAAUAAUAAUAAUAAUAAUAUUAAAUAUAUGAAAAAUAUUAUUAAUUUUUAUUUUAUUAAUUAUAUUAAUAUUGAUAAUUAUAUUCAUAAGUAUAAUUGUUCUCGAACUAGGUUGGGGACUGGGAGAACUAUUGCCUUCGAACGUCACUCGGUCGGUCGUGCUUCGCUUCCUCCUUCGGUCCUUCUUUCUGGAUGACUCCUCAGGCGGGUGGUGUACCUGCAGAUGGCACUCCAACGCUCAAGUCAGUGGGGUAUCGUAUUCGGCUGGCUGGAAUACUGUAGAUAAUGACGUACCUGGUUCUUGGAAUGCGUGAUAUUUAUAUUACCUUGAUGGGCCCUCGCUGUUGGGCCGGAUUAGGGGGUUGCUUAGCGAUUAGGGUUGGAUUAGGCCGUUUCCUAAUCAUAGGUUAACCUUCGUUAAUUGGGUCAACCUUUGACUUAAGCUCUCUGUGUCGGUCGGCCACGUAUGACACAUGGUCGACCUCGUACCUUGGAGUAUGAUCUUGACAAAUAAGUUGACCGGGUUUAGGGACCGGUCGGUCAUCCCAGUACAGUUGCCUCCCAGGCUCGAGAGGUGGUACAGCCGAAGAGUCUGAAGAAUGGGGCACGGGCGGAUUGUGUAAUGAUGAAUGAAGUGAUGUUUGGGGGCGUCUGAGCGAUUGACAUGACGCGCAUUAAUGAGGGAUUUUUCUGAGCGCGGAGCGAUGCGAACCGUUGGAUCAAACGAAUCCAACGGUUGGGGUUAUUGUGACGUUUGGAAUUUCGAGGCCCUCCCGGGCUAUAAAUAGGGGCUGGGAAUAGUAGCGUUUCACGCGUUAUCUUUGCUUGAGCUCCGACACCUAUUACCAAUCCGACCGUCUUCUGUUGCUUUUCCUCGUCCGUCUUCAAGGUUAGUCAUGUCUGUCCUUGCCGAGUCUCCCCCGGCUUGCUCGUCUUCUUCGUCUUCUUCCUCUUCUUCUUCUUCUUCUUCUUCUUCUUCUUCUUCUUCUGGCCAGGCUUCCCCUGUCGGGGAAGUGGAGAGGGUUCCCUCUCCAGGCUUGGUGAGGGAGGACGCUGGUAAUGCGUUCGACCGCUCGGCCCCUUUUGAGGGGCCGCGCCCCCAUGUAGGGCCGGCCUGGGUAGAUCCCCGGGUAUGUGAGGUGUCGUCCUUCUUUCUUACCGACGCCUCUGUUGGCGCAUUUUUGGAUGAGGUUCCUGUUUUGAAGGCUUCGGCCGAGGAAUCCUUGAUGGCGUUCGGUCCUUGCUCUUUGGAGGACCGCGUGUAUCGGGAGCGGUCAUCUACCGAGCCUCCUUUUUUCUUCAUGUAUGCUUGUCUUUUUUCGGACUUGCACGUGUCUCUACCCUUCGAUGCCUUCACGGCCGGGGUUCUGAAGGAGCUGAACGUGGCUCCGACUCAGCUCCACCCCAACUCGUGGGCGUCGAUGCAAGCGUUCCGCAUUGUUUGCCGGACGUUUGGGUUGCGCCCUCUUCCCUCCUGCUUUCUUCAUUUCUAUUCGUCACACCCGGCCAAGCUUGUCAGCUGGCAAUCGCUGGUCAGCCGGGCGGGCAGUGUGUUGUUCAAGCCCUUCACGGCCUCUUAUAAGAACUUCAAGGAGAAGUUUUUUAAAGUGUACGUGGAGCCGGCUGGGACACGUUAUUUUUUUGAUGAGGUUGGCCGGUCCCGCUUCCCUCUUUUUUGGUCGAGGAGUCCGACAAAGAUAACGGAUUGGCCAAGGCCGGCGCAUCCGAGCGAGCAUGAGCGGCUCGUUUUUUCUUUAUUUGAUAGUCUCCCCAGGAAGCUCCCCGCACGACCGCUCAUGUCGUUGUACAAUGCGACCGAUCGCGCGGAGGCUUUCGAGGGUAUGUUCUUUUUCAUGCACUUGGCCUUGUUAUAUAUAUAUAUAUAUAUAUAUAUAUAUAUAUAUUAUUUAUUUUAUUUUAUUUUUAUUUUUAUUUUANNNNNNNNNNNNNNNNNNNNNNNNNNNNNNNNNNNNNNNNNNNNNNNNNNNNNNNNNNNNNNNNNNNNNNNNNNNNNNNNNNNNNNNNNNNNNNNNNNNNCGGAGGAGGCUGGCCCCUCCAAGAAGCGUAACCGCGAGGGCGGCAACAUUGCCCGGACAGUUAGGGCGGCGGGUCAGAUGCCCACCCCCCUCCCGCAAGGUCUGCUAGGCCGACUCCCCCUCCGACUGAUGACUUUAACCGCCCCAUUCCGACGGGGGUGGCGGUCCCCUUGGCCACCGCGGGCGGCUCGAUGCUCGCGCUUGGGGAUGACCGGUCCUUCUCCAGGGCCGUGAGCUUCAAACUGCCCUCCAACAUUGAGGGUGAGAUCCGGUCGGUCCCUAACGACGACCUCCUGGACGGCGGCAUCGAGAUGAUCUGCCGGGGUCUAUUCUUGGCACGCCGGGGUGCAGACGCUCGGAAGAGCCGGGUCGAGGACAUAUCGCGCCUCGAACACGAACUCCAGGAGGCCGGCCACAAUCUGAAGCAGGCCAUGGAGGCCAACACAACUUACGAAAAGAAGUUGUGUGCUCAGGGGGCCGAGCUGGAGCUGCGUCAGCAGAGGGUGGCCGAGCUGGAGAGGGCCGAUGCCGAGAAGGCUGCGGAGGUUAUUCUCCUUCGCAAGGCGUUGGAAGAUGCCGACCGUAGGGCCCGCUUGAAGGAGGAGGAAACUGCGGCCGAAAGCGAGGCCAGGAGGGUGGCGGAGGCCGAAGUUCUGAAGACCAUGGAGGACACCAUGGUGCUCAUUGGCCAGAGCUUCGAUCUUGCCGUCCGACAGGCUGAGGUGCUGUAUGGCGGUCCACCUCCAUCUGGUCAAUUUGACCAAGACAUGGACGUUGUGGAUGGCCGUAUGGUCCCUGCAGCGGCCGGUCCUCCUCAAGUUGAAGAAGUUGAAGCUGACCCCUCUAAUGAGGUGUUGAAUAUCGUAGACUAGGCGGUCAGCUUUACUUUUAGACCCCUGGGGCCGGGGUGUGGCCCCCACCUUUUUUCAAUUUUAAUAUAAGUUCUUUUCUUUAAUUGUUUCUUCAUUUUCUGGACGAUCGAUCCUUUACUAGCCGAUUGGACUUGAACCUGUAAACUUGACUCAUAAUAUUAACGGAGUAAAAAGAACGGAGCAACCGGUCGGUGUGUGUAAGCAAUUAACUUGAGAACUAAAAUCAACCAAGUGAUUGUAACGAAGUUCGGUAGGUGGACUUGUGUCGAUCGUUGUGUAUGUCCCGGGAGGGUAUGCCGACUAAGGCUACAUCCUGGCCGAGUGAGUUCGGGAGGGUAUGCCGGUUAAGGCUACAUCCUGGCCGAGUGGGUACGGGUUCGGGAGGGUAUGCCGGUUAAGGCUUCGUCCUGGCCGAACCGUUAUUGUCGUUCAUUGUAUACACUUAUAUAUGAAACGCCUCGUUAAAACCUCUCCGACCGAUAGACAGGCCGGGCGAGGAAAGAGUGCGUAUAUUUUAUUCAUGUUUAGCUGAAAUAAAACUUUAGGUGCGUGGCAUUCCACGUCCUAGGUACAAUUUUUCCCGAUAGGUGCUCUAAAUGGUAAGCUCCCCCUUCUCCCACUUCCCGGAUUCGGAAUGGUCCCUCCCAAUUUGAUGAGAACUUGCCGUCCGACUUCCUAGCGUUGCUGCGCAUUCUCCAGACGAGGUCACCUUGCUGAAAGCUUCUGGGCUGGACCUUCGAGUUGUAUCUCCUUGCCGCUCGGAGCUUGCACGCCGCUUCUCGUAUCUUGCUCUUAUCUCGAAGCUCGUUCAAGAGGUCGAGGCCGACCGCCAGACUUUCCUUGUUGAGGGAUAAGUCGAAGAGUUGGCGUCGGAUGGAUGGCUCCCCGACUUCUACUGGUAUCAUGGCCUCGGUGCCGUACGUGAGGCUGUAAGGGGUUUCUUGUGUGGUGGAUUGUGGGGUGCAGCGGUAUGCCCAUAAGACCUCGGGCAGUUCCUCCGUCCAUCUUCCCUUGGCCGUGCCGAGCCUCUUCCUUAGUUCGUUCAACAAGACCUUGUUGGCCGCUUCGGCUUGUUCGUUCGUCUGUGGGUGUUCGACUGAGCUUGUGAGGGAUUUGAUGCCGAGGUCGUCGUAGAAGGUCAUGAGGCCUUGAUCGAUGAACUGCCGGCCGUUGUCGGAGACUAUUGAGUGUGGUAUGCCGAACCGGCAUACUAUGUUUUUCCAUACGAAGUUUUGGACGUUUCGGGCGGUGAUUGUGGCUAGUGGUUCGGCCUCUAUCCACUUGGUGAAGUAAUCCACCGCGACCAGCAGAUGCUUUGUCUGGCCUUUGCCUGGGGAGAAUGGGCCGAUGAUGUCCAUUCCCCACAUAGCGAACGGCCAGGGCGACGUCAUACUAUGCAGUUCCUCUGGUUUUCGGUGGUGGAGAGGGCCAAACUCUUGGCAUUUUUGGCAUUUCUUGACGUAGUCAGCACUAUCUCCGUGGACGGUCGGCCAAUAAUACCCUGCGCGGAUUAUUUUGGCUGCCAUCGUNNNNNNNNNNNNNNNNNNNNNNNNNNNNNNNNNNNNNNNNNNNNNNNNNNNNNNNNNNNNNNNNNNNNNNNNNNNNNNNNNNNNNNNNNNNNNNNNNNNNCCUUCGUGGAUCUCUUGCAGCACAUACUGGGAUUGCUCCUUGGUGAGGCACUUUAGGAGUGGCGUGGAGUACCCCCUUCGGUAUAGAUCCUGACCGAUCAUGGUGUACCGGGCGCACUGCCGUCUGAUGUUCUUCUCUUCCCCCGGCUGGCAUGUCCCAUGCUCCAAGUACUGAGUGAUUGGGGUCAUCCAUGUGUGGGUCUCGGUGACUGUCAUGCACUCGGCGUCGCCCACACUCGGCUGUGCUAGUCGCACCUGGACGACCGAUCGAUGGUGGCUUUGUUUUUUCGUGGAUGCCAGGCGAGAGAGUGCAUCGGCGCGCUCGUUUUCCUCUCGUGGUAUGUGUUGGACCGCCACCGCGUCGAAUUUGGCCAUGAUGUUACGAACGGUGUGGUAAUAUCGUUGGAGGAGGGGCUCCUUGACUUCGAAUUCUCCUUUGAUUUGGCCGACGACCAGCUGGGAGUCGCUCUUGCAUGCGACCUCUCGCGCGCCCAGGUCAUUCGCCAAGUUGAGGCCGACCAGUAUGGCCUCGUAUUCCGCCUGGUUAUUCGUUGCCUUGAAGGAGAACUGGAGGGCUUGCUCAAUCAGUAAGUCCCCCGGCCCUUCGAGGAUGACCCCGGCUCCGCAGGCUGUUUUAUUGGAAGAGCCGUCCACGUAGAGGACCCAUUUGGUUGAGACUUCUGUGUUCUUGGGGAGCUCGGCUGCGAAAUCCGCUAGGCAUUGGGAUUUGAUGGCGCCCCUCGGUUCGUACUUGAUGUCGAACUCUGAAAGCUCGACCGACCACCCUAUCAUUCGUCCUGCAAGAUCGGGUUUAGACAAAAUUUUAUAUAUGGGAUAGUUGGUCUUUACCCUGAUUUCGUGGUUCUGGAAGUAUGGGCGCAUUCUCCUUGCCGUCAGCACUAGGGCUAGUGCCACCUUCUCUAUCAUUUGGUACCUGGUCUCGGCUGCAUGGAGCGUCCGGCUGACAAAGUAUACAGGGUGUUCUUCGCGGUCUACCUCCUGGACAAGGGCGGCACUUACUGCCUCCUCCGAUACCGCUAAGUAGACCACUAUGGGUAGGUCUAGGCGGGGCUUCUGGAUGACGGUCGGUAAGGACAGGAAUUCUUUGAGCUGGCCGAAGAUUUGCUCGCAUUCCUCGUUCCAGCUGAAUUUCGAAGUUUUGCGGAGCAUAGCGGCUAUCGGUCUGAUCCGUUCGGCGAGGCGGGGUACGAAUCUGGACAGUGCUGUCAGUCGGCCAAGCAGCUGUUGAAUUUCCUUCAAGUUUUUUGGGCUCCUCAUCUCCGUUAUGGCCUUGCACUUGUCGGGGUUUGCUUCGAUUCCUCUGUGGGUCAGCAUAAAGCCGAGGAACUUGCCGCCUUCGACGCCGAACGCGCACUUCUCGGGGUUAAGGCGCAUGUUGACCUUUCUUAAAGCGUCGAAGACUUCUUGUAGAUCUUUGAUGUGUUGGCCGCACGAGUCGGACUUCACCACGAUGUCGUCCACGUAGACUUCUACGCUUCGGCCAAUCAUCCCCUUGAAAAUUUUGUCCAUGAGCCUCUGGUAGGUAGCUCCGACGUUUUUUAGGCCGAACGGCAUCACCUUGUAGAAGUAGUUUGCACCGUCCGUCGUGAAGGCCGUUUUACUUCUAUUGCUAUGGUGCAUGCUGAUCUGGUUGUAGCCGGAGUAGUCGUCCAGGAAACUCAAUAUCUUGUGGCCGGCCGCUCCGUCUACGAGCCGGUCGAUGUUAGGGAGGGGAUAUGAGUCCUUGGGGCACGCCUUGUUGAGGUCCUUGUAGUCUACGCACAUCGCCAUUUGUCGCUCGGCUUUUUAACCAUCACGACGUUGGCUAGCCAAGUGGAGUAUCGUGCCUCGGCUAUGAAGCCGGCUUUCAAGAGCUUCUCGGCCAAACUUCUGGCUGCCAAUCGCUUGUCUUCUCCAUGGUUCCUCUUCUUUUGUGCGACCGGUCGGGCUUCUUUGUAUACCACGAGGCGAUGGGUGAUGAUGUCCGGGUGGACGCCUGGUACAUCGGCCGUCGUCCACGCAAAUAGGUCUACGUUCCUCUUGAGGGUUUGGUGAACGAAUUCUGCAUCGGCGGCGGCCAUUGCCGUGCCUAUGCUUAUAUACCGAUCCUUCCCAUCGAGUUCGGCUUGUCGCAGCUCGUCCUUGGCCUCAAGUCUCGGCUCAAUCUCCCUGGGAUCCAGGUCUGCCAUGGUGAUGCCCUUCUUGGGUUGGGGCGAGUGUCGGCGGGGGCUUCUACCACGGCCGGCUAUCUUUCGCCUGGGCGAGCGGCUGUUGCUGGGCCCCUGUUGUGUGGGCUCGACCCGCAGGCUCUCGGCGUAACAUUCUCGGGCGACCUUUUGAUCUACAUGUAUGGUCAGGAUGUCGCCCGAGAAGGAAGGGAACUUCAUUGCCAGAUGGGGUGUGGAGACGAUCGCUCCAAGUCUGUUGAGGGAUGACCUGCCGAGGAGGAUGUUGUAAGACGUGUUGGCGUUUAUGACCAGGUAUCUAAUUUUGAGGGUUUUGCUAGCCCCUUCCAGGCCGAACGUCGUGUACAACUCUAUGUACCCCCUUGUCCCAACGCGCUCCCCUGAGAAGCCGACCACAUGGUCGUUGUAGGGCAUCAUUUCCUCCUCUGGUAUUCUCAUGGCUUUGAAGGUCUUCCAGUAUAGUAUGUCGACCGAGCUCCCUUGGUCCACGAGGGUCUUUUUGAUCGUGAAGUUAUCGAUGUCGACCGAUAUCACCAUGGGGUCGUCCUGGGUUGGGUCUAUCCCCUUGAAAUCUUCAUCUGUGAACGUGAUUGGUGGCAUCCUUGGUCGGACGAAGACAAGAUUUACCUGGUGGACGGCGCGGAGGUGCUUCUUGCGUGCGCUGUUAGUACUGCCUCCGCCACCGAAGCCUCCGGCUAUGGUGUUAAUCACUUCUCGGCCUCUGCGGGUGUCGGUUUGUGGGGGGUCGUCUCUUCGUCCCCGUCGGUCUCCCCGCCUGUCGCCAUCUCGUGGGCCUGGGGGGGUUCGGUCUCGUUGAUAAGUGUCUAAUUUCAGUAAUAUUUCAUAUUAAAAUAUAGGCACUUAUGAGGAUUUAUUGCUAAUUUACAUAUAAAAUAAUCCCUAAUUUAUGAAUUUAUACCUUUUUACAUUUUUUAUGAUCUUUAUUUGAAUAAGAGUAUUUUAUUCCCAAAUUUGGUGUUAAUUGCAGAUUUCUAAGGAAGAUUGGAGAUUUGGAUUAAAGAUUAAUGAUUUGAGCUAAAAAGAUAAAGAUAGAAGGUCCCAGAAUGGAAAAGAUGCAAAGAAAGAUUGGGCCUUUUUUUUAUGUUUUAUCAUUUAGCCCAUUAGCGCGACACAAUAAACAACCUAACCCUAGAAAACUAGGAUAAAUAGAGGGCUAGAGGCUCAAACUUAGUGUGCCAGAUUGAGAGGAAAACACCAUAGAGUGAAUUGUAACCCAAUUGGGAGAAUGGAAGGUGAUAGAAGUAUGCGUGGCUAAUUCUACCCUUUGGGAUU